RNAcentral lists this long non-coding RNA (79526 nucleotides) under Ananas comosus (pineapple). Its description in RNAcentral is "long non-coding RNA (ACOM_LNC012342)". Lineage: Eukaryota; Viridiplantae; Streptophyta; Magnoliopsida; Poales; Bromeliaceae. The record is from RNAcentral.
UUCCAUCUUUCUUACUAUCCUUUACCUAUUUGUGUCUUACCUUACUGUAGACUUAGUGGGUGGGCCGUUGAGGUCGAUGACGAUACCCGCUGAGGACUACUCUGUUUUGCAGUAGUUCUCACACCCAGUUGUUGCCACCUUUUUGCAGACCCGUCCGCUGCUGUUGCUGCUGCUGUUGCUGAUUCCGACCACAGUACGAAAAUUUCUAUGUAUACAGCGGGUAUGUUGGUGUGCUCGAAAAAACGUGGUAAUCUGAAGCGUAAUAAAUAUUUAGUUAGCAAAAUUGAAUUGUGCGAUUUAAUUACAAUAAUUUAAAAAGUGUGAGCCAAAAUUUUAGUACAUUAAUUAAAGUUAAAAACUAAAAUUUUACUUACCUUAAAUUGCCAAACAUUGUAAUUUAGCAUAAAAAAAAAAAUCAGUAACGAUACCAAAUAAGAAAAUUAAUUUACUAUUUUGUGUAUUUUAGUGAUACCAACGUUUCCCACUGAUUUUCUUUUUUUUUCCCAGCGGUGGUGGUGUAUUGUGCGGUCCCGUGCUGACGUGCAUGCGUUUAACAAUAUUUCUAACAAACGAUUCCAGAAUAAACUUCAAAUAUCAACCCCUCUGUUUCGUACUUUCUUACUUUAGUAUUAUAUACUAUAUGAUUUUAUUUUUUUCUUUUCGCCGACCCAUCCGUUAAUUUUUUAUUAAAUUAUAUACAAAAAACUUCAGAUAUUUCAUCUAUAGUUUAUCGAAUAUUUAUUUUAGCAUUCUUUAGUUUUAACUUUGUCACUAAUUUAACAAAAAAAAUUAGUGAAGAAAAUAACAAAAAGAAAAAAAUAAAACCACAAGAUACGAAAAUAAUACACUUUAAAUUAUAUGAUACUAAAGUAAAAAAAAACGAAACUACAGGAAUAAUAUUUAAAGUUUUCCCAACAAGAUCAGAAUAUGGUGAACCAAAAGAUCCCAAAGCAACAACUUUAAUAAGAAGCUAUUGAAUUUAUUAGGGAUAUAUACCAGUGCUUGUUUGGCUCUAGAUCUCAAACAGGAAAAAUUCUAGAAUGCAACAGGUAUAUUGAUGACGUGGCGUAACAAUCCAAUCAAAUGUAUUUUUUUAGAGAUAUAUAUGCCAUCGUGAUUAUAAAAAAAUAUUUUUAUUAUACUUUUAUUUAAAAAAAAAUGAAUAUAAUUGGCUUGCUAUUGAUGACGUGGUGCAAGUGUGACCGUAUAGAAUUCCUCCACAAACAGAGUUAGUCUUUUUGAACUUGGGGCUGUUUGGCCUGCUCAAAGAUAGUAAGGAAAAAGAUUUGCGCUUCCCAUUCGUCCCCAUCGCCAUCAAAUGAUUGAAAAUGUAACGUUUUGCGCUUGUAGUUUCUGUUUUCUGUUUCUGUAAUAAUUUUUUUUUUUGUUUUACUUUUACGUAAGAGUUUAAAAUAAUAAUAAUAAUAAUAAUAAUAAUAAUUAAUAUUAUGCUGUUUGUUUCGUUUAUUUUUUUAAGAAAUAAACUUAGCUAGACAUGUGAAGCAAUUAGAUUUAGAACUUAGGGUCUUAAAUAUCAGCCAUCAAGUAUUUAAUCACUUGCGUUAGAAAUGAUCGAUUUUCAUAAUAAUUUAUUAUUAAAACAAAUAACAAAGUGCUAGGUGUAGCUCAGUAAGUAAUUUGUAUCUUAUUAUCUGCAGUUUAUAAAAUUUAGGCCUUGUUUGGUAUUAUAUUUAGUUUUAAAUUUUUUAAAUAGAAUUUUAUGUAUUAAAAUUUGUGAAAGUGGACAGUAAAUUGUUUGCAAUCCUAUCUUACAAGUUUUUUACUUGACAACACAAAAAAUAAAAAUAAAAAUUUAAAGCAACCUUUGUGCUUCUAAAAUUUUUUUUAAAUAAAGUAUCAUCUGUCACUGAGCACUAUAAGCUAAACUAACUAUAGCAACAAAAAGAAGUCUUUUCUCCACUAUAUCAAAUUAUAUAAAAUUAACAUUUAAAAGAGUGAAAUAAAAGGGCAACAAUACAGAUUACAGAAUGGGAUCUUAGCAUAUUAAUUGUUACCUUUCUUAGUCACAAGUUCUCAUGGAAAACUGAAAUAGAGAUCACUAGGGAACCUGCAUUAGUAAAAUGGGAAAAGAUGAUAGUUGUUUCAUUAAUAUUCUACCUUAUCUAGAUAGGAAGCUUCUCUUUUUAUCUAGAUGCUCAAAAAAAAAAUUGAUGCAACACAAAUUACUCUUUGAAGAUAAAGCUGAAAUAUUUACUAUCCAAUUUCUUAUUUAUUUAUUUUCAUGUUUUUUUUUUAUAUAUAUAGUGAAGGAAAUUUCUCAAACUUAUCAAAUUCUUUUGUAGCUUUCUUUGGCUAUUAGAAUAAAUUAUCAGUGAUAAGUUAUUCGGUAUGAGAAUUCUCUUUUGUAUUUUGGAAAGUAUUAGUCUGCGUUUUACUCCUGAAAUGGCUUUGGCAUAUAUGGUUUCGUAUGACAACAUAUUUGUUUCACUGGUUUAUCGUAUUUUGAAAAAAUAAUUUUGAGGGCCAAAUAUAAUACUCCAGUAAAAUAGCCAUGCAUCUUAGCAGGGCUAAAUCUUUUCUUAUAGUUACGAGAAUUGUAUAAAGUAUAUUAAUUAAACUUGUAAAAAUAGACGGCACAUUCAAAAUUUAAAAUCAAAAUACUAUUGACCGACUCAAAUCAAUUAAAUUGAAAACUUGGAUAGUAAAAUUAAAAUUUUAAAAAAUUUAGAUAAAUUGAUUCAAAAUAGUCUAUAGUUCAGACAAGUUGUAAAUAUUUGUCACCUUUGAAAUGGGCUUUUGAAGGGUUGAGGUUUCAUGAUUAAGUUCGCAGGUCAAGCUCCAAUUAGGGUUUUCAGAACAUCACAUGUGCACGCAGCAGGGUGGUGUAUAGCUAACUGCAGUGACGAGGUAGAAUUAGCCAAUCAGGAGGUGUCAGAGUUACUACUUUAUUUUAAGUUAGGCAUCAUUUGGAAUUGCGGAGAGAUUGCGUUACGUGCGGUGAGAAAGUACGUUGAAAAAAUACUAUAUUUGUUUCUGUACAUAAUAUUGUAUUCCGCAUAUCGCGAUACGGUCCCACCGGAGAACGCAGAAAUAUAUUCCUAUAUGUUUUUACAUUAACUCUAUUUUAUCUAAUAGUGUCAGAUUUGCUUCAAUAUCAAACUAAGUGUUACUCAGAAGGCUAAGCAUAGAAUAAUUAAAAAAUAUAUAUUAGGCUCCGAAAAAGUUUCUUUUGCAUGGCGCACGAAGCGUUUAUAUAGUGGAAUACCCUGUCUCUUUCGAUUAACCAAUUUCAUUGACUAAAAUGAAAAGAGGAAUACCUAUCCGCUUCUGCACGGAAAAUCAAGCCAAAAUUCAUGUCAAGACUCACGGUAUCAGAGCCGAUGUUGAAACAAUCGUAACAAUCGUAACGUAGGGCCAGAAGUCUGAAGUCUGCACCUAGGACAAUAGUGGGUUAAUGCCGGACGUGUUUGAUUCGGAUUAUUCUAUCAGAAUUACAAAUAAUUCUGCUAGAAUUAUUACAUUUGAAUCGUCCGGUCAGUAAUUCGAUCGAUAAUAUAGUAUUACAAAUAGUGCAAGAUUAUUCUAAAAAUAUUAUCGAACAGGAGGUGAGUAUCUCGUAUUAAUGAUGGCAAAUAAUCUUGCAUAUUUUGUAAAUUAUGAGUUUACCUCUCCAACCCCUCAAACCCUUUUAACACAUUAUUUUUAUCCAUCUCUCUCUUUCUCUCCCUCUCUACUAUUAGAAUUACUAAAUUUUAUAAAUUGAGCAAAAUAUAGUAAUUUUAUGUACAUUGAAAUUCAGCAUUAAAUUGCUGCAUUAAAUUAACCAAACGCGAUAAUACAGAAUUAAUUGUAAUCCAGUUUAAAAAUCUUAGAUACUUAGUUAUAUCGCAAUAACCUGUUAUGCUAUAUAACACAAGCCAAGCGCGUAGUUAGUUUAUCAGCAAUUACAACAUUGCUAAGUUUAUUGAGUUCAUAAAUUUUGAGGCACCCUAGUAACUUGUUAAGGCCGAAUAAAUCACUUACACUAAAAAUGGAGAGGGUUCAGCUUUUAUCUAGCCACACUUUUGCUUCCAGCUUCAGCGGGUAGAAAUUGUAAUAAUAUUUGUAAUUUUAGCCAAAAACCUACCUAGCCCUGGCUUGAGCAGCUUAUCUGGCAAAGCCUCUAGCCAGAUCCAAGAAAAGAAGCAAUGGAAUAACUUGGUCGAAUCCCACCACUAAAUAUUCAUUCUUUUCCAACAAUAAAUUGUUUUAUAAUUGAUUACUAUUAUUAUUAGUUAAACAGCAAAUUUUUUCGAGAAUUGUUGCAAAUUAUUGCUACAAAAUUUAUAGCAAAAAAUAGCAAAAUAACAUAAUUUUGUAUUAUUGGAACGUCACAAACUGUUGCAAUAAAAAAAUUAUUUUAUAAUAAUUUAAUUUUUAGUAGAAUUAAAUUAUUAUAGUGUCGGGUGAAGAGGUACUCACUCAACUGGAAAGCUGAUUCUUCUGCAACUUGUUUUCUUCGUCAAAUUAUAUGUUGGCUUGGUGCUUCGAACAAAAGUUGAUCCAUGCCAUGCUGAGAAACACCAAUCAAACAUUCAACAGAAAAUUUAAUGCUGCUUAUGCUGCAAGCAAAAUCUCCAAACAUAACAGCCAAAUAGGAACAAAUAGUCUGUGAUUGAAGCUCACAAGAGUCAGAAGAUUGCAAACAAAGCUGCUAGUGUUUUUCCAAACAGUUCAGCUAAAAAAAAUCUCUGUACAGGCAAACAUGAACAAUACUGAGAAUCACUUUACUCAUACAUCACAGAAGAGCACAAACUCUCCAGAAAACACUAAUUUAAUCACAUUAAAGGACAGCAUCUCUAACUAUCAAAAUUUGCACCACCCAAGCACUCGGCACGCGAAAUCCAGCGCUCGAAAAGAAGGUUUAAGUCACGCAUCCAAAUAUAACACCGUUAAUUACUAGCAACAGAACGAAUGAAAAUUGAAGUUACAUGACAUAUACAAAAGAUUGUCGUGCAUAAAGGGAACAUUUCUCUUCCAAAUAUUUUGAACAGAAAAAGAAAAUAGGGAUAAUAGUUAAGUUAUUUACACACAAGUACUUUUAAUUCUACAAUGAAACCAUGUUUUAAAAAGAAUCUUCGAAUUAUAGUAGGACAUGACUAUGCAACACACAUGAGGCUCACCUAAAUCGACAAAAUGAUAAACGAACGAACAAACUACUUAAGAAUUUUUACUCGUCUCCAAAUUUUGUAAACCUAUGAUGUAAUAAAUAUAUUACUUGUUCUGAUCAGGCUUUGCAUUAGAAUUGUUCUGCUGCUGCUGCUGCUGCUGAUGCUGUUGCUGCUGUAGCUGUAGUUGUUGCAACUGAUAUAUCUGAGAAUUCAGUGAGAUUUGCUGAUUUAAGCCCUUUGAAAGGUGAGCUUCACUUAUCUCUCCAGUAGCAAGUUUCAGCCUCUGGACCUCUGCGGUAAGCGCUUCGUUCAGAGCUGCAGAGAGUAUCUAUCAUGUCAUGAACAUCAAGAGGAACAAAGAUUUAAUAAUGACUACGUAUGCCCCCCAAAUUAAUACGGCACUAAGUUACUAAGGUAAUUUUGGAUUUUUGCAAUUAUUACGGUAUUUUUUUACUUUUCUGUUAUUAAAAUACUGCUACAGUUUUAAAAUUGUUUGAUCAGUCAAUUAAUCUUGGUUUAAGGAAAUAAUGGAAAAAAAUAGAAAAAUGAACAACAAGUAUAAGCUCAAAUAGGCCCUUGCACACACAUACAUAUGCACACAUGCUUGUAUAUGAGUGCGCCUGGAGAAAGAUUUAUGCUACGACACUCCUCAAUGUCAGUCAACAUCCGUAUUGAUAGUCACACCAUUAAGAAAUGAUUUAGAGCAUGUAGUAUAAUGAUUACUUUUGGAUUUCUCAUUAUAGCAACCAAUAAUGGCUGAUAUAAUCAUUAACUGCAUAAAAUGAUACAAGUUGGCUCUAAGUGAACUAAUCUUAGGAACAGUUUAAGCUGUCUAGAUCAACAUUUGUGACAGUAGUUUUCAACCGAAUAAUCUUAUCCCCACUUUAAAAAGGUCUUUCAAUGAAUCAAUAUGCACAGUAUAAUUAUGUCCACUAAAUACAUUAACUAAAAUAUAAUUCUACUACCAUUUUUUUUACCAAAUAAUUUACAUGCCCAAGAUCCAUCGUAACAGGCUAACAGCAUGAAUUGUCAGUUCAUAGGCCCAGAUUGAUAUCAAGAAGCAAUAAGGCCAAGUACUUAUGAAGGUAUUCUAGACUAACUCAAAAUCUAAUACCUUUUGACCAGAGCUACCAAUGUGGUUCCCAAUAUCCUUUUUUUACUAUAACUCUCUCCCUCUCUCCAUGUGCAUAUAUAUAUAUAUAUAUAUAUAUAUAUAUAUAGAAUUGAUUAAAAGUACCAAGUUAUUGGUACUUGUAGAUUUUUAGCCAUUGGAUUAAGAGAUAUGCGGUUAGGAUGAUGUGGGCUCCCUAAGGUUGAAUGGGUGGUUGGUUGAAUAGUAUAAUCUAAUGAUUGAAAAUGAUCCGAGAAGUAAAUCUAACGGUAAAAAACUUACAAGCACCAAGUGCUUGAUGCUUUUACAAACACCAUAGCUGAACUCUAUAUAUAUAUAUAUAUAGAGAGAGAGAGAGAGAGAGAGAGAGAGAGAGAGAGAGAGAGAGAGAAAGAGAGAGAGAGAGAGAGAACUAGGCUGGAAUACUAUCAAUAGCACCAAGCUAUUGGAGCUAUUGAUUUUUUAGCACUUGGAUUGAGAAAUUGGUGGUUAGGAUGAUGUAGGCCCUCUAGAGUUGAGUGAGUGGUUGGUUGAAUAGUAUAAUCUAAUGGAUAAAAAUAAUCAAAGGUUUAAAUCUAACGGUGGAAAACUCGAUAACACCAAAUCCUUGGUGCUAUCGAUAGUACCCCAGUUGGACUUAUAUAUAUAUAUACUUAUAUAUAUAUAAGUAUAUAUAUACUUAUAAGUAUAUAAGUAUAUAUAUAUAUAUAUAUAUAUAUAUAUUAUUAGAUAUAUAAGUACAUAUAAUAUUAUAUAUAUUAUAUACUCUAUAUUUAUAUAUAUAUAUAUAUAUAUAUUAUAGAGUUGAGCUAUGAUACUUUUACAAGUUCACCAUCAUGGUGUAUUAGGUUUAACCAUUGGAUCUACUUUUUGAUUAUUAAUAGCCCUUGGAUCAAAACUAUUCACCUACCACCACUACCACCAUUAUCUCACCUCACAUCUCUCAUCCAAGGGCAAAAAUACACAAGUAUCACCCCAUGAUACUUUUACAAGUAUUCUAGCCCUACUCUAUAUAUAUAUAUAUAUAUAUUAUAUAUAAUAUAUAUAUAUUAUAUAUAUAGCUUAUAUAUAUAUAAGUAUAUAUAUACUUAUAUAUACUUAUAUAUAUAACUUAUAUUACUAUAUAUAUAUUAUUAUAUUUAUAUAUAAGUAGUAUAUAUAUAUACUUAUAUAUACUUUAUAUAUACUUAUAUAAGUAUAUUAUAAGUAUAUAUAUACUUAUAUAUACUUAUAUAUAUAUAUAUACAUAAUAUAUAUUAUAAGUAUAUAUAUAAGGAGUCGGCUACUAUACUAUCGAUAGUACCAAGGCGUGUUAAAUUGAUUUUCUACCGUUAGAUCUACCUUUGAUUAUUUCACCCGUUAGAUUAUACUAUUAAACCAAACCACCACUCAACCCUAGGGACCACUAUCAAUUUAACGCGGGACCACUAUCAUCCUAGCCGCACAUCCUUUCAUCCAACGGCCGAAAACUCAAAGUACCAAGGGUUUGUACUAUUGAUAGUAUAGUAGCAUAAUUCUAUUAUAUAUAUAUAUAAUAUAAUAUAUAUUAUAUAUAUAUAUAUUUGGUAGUCCGGUCUAUAUACUAUCGAUAGUACCAAGCCUUGGUACUAUUGAGUUUUCUACGUUAGAUCUACCCUUUGUCAUUUCCACCCUUAGAUUAUAUUAUUAAACCAACCACCCACUACACCUAGGGACCACUAUCAAUUUAACGAGACCACUAUCAUUCUAACCGCACAUCUUUUCUCCAACGGCCAAAAACUCAAUAGUACCAAGGGUUGGUUACUAUGUAUGAUAGUAUAAUAUAUAUAUAUAUAUAAAUUAUUAUCAUGUGUUUGAACAAGGUGCAGUUGAGCUAGGAUUACUUUUACAAGUUCACCAUCAUGGUGUCUAUUAGGUUUUAAGCCAUUGGAUCUACUUUUUUGAUUAUUAAAUAGCCCUUGGAUCAAACACUAUUUCACCUUACCACACCUACCACCAUUAUUCAACCUCACAUCUUCACUCCAAAAAAAGGGCUAAAAUACACAAGUAUCACCGCCCAUGAUACUUUUACAAGUUUCUAGCCUACUCAUAUAUAUAUAUUAUAUAUAUAAUAUAUAUAUAUAUAUAUAUUAUUAUAUAUACUUAUAAUAUUAAGUAUAUAUAUAUUAUAUAUACUUAUAUAUAUAACUAUAUCAUACUAUAUAUAUACUUAUUAUUAGUAUAUAUAAGGUAAUAUAUUACUUAUAUAUACUUGUAUAUUAUACUAUAUAAGUAUAUUAUAAGUAUAUAAACUUUAUAUACUUAUUAUAUAUAAUAAGUACAUAUAAUAUUAUAAGUAUUAUAUAUAAGAGUCGGUACUUACAUAUCGAUAGUACCAAGGCGCUUGUUACUAAAUGUUGUUCUACGUUAGAAUCUUACCUUUGAUUAUUGUCACCCGUUUAGAUUAAUACAUUUAAACCAAUACCACACUCAACCCUAGUGUGACCACUAUCAAUUUUAACCGGGGACCACUAUUCCAUAGCCCGACAUCCUUUCAUUCCAACGGCCGAAAACUCAAUAGUACAAGGGUUUGUACUAUUGAUAGUAUAGUAGCUAAUUCUAUAUAUAUAUAUAUAUAUAAUAAUAUAUAUAUAUAUAUUAUUUGUGAUGUCCGUCCAUAUACUAUCGAUAGUACCAAGCCUUGUUACUAUUGAGUUUCUUACGUUAGAUCUAUCCCUUUGAUCAUUCCACCCUUAGAUUAUAUUAUUAAACACAAACCACCACUACAACCUAGGGAACCACUAUUCAAAUUAACUGGAGACGCCACUAUCAUUCUAACCGCACCAUCUUUUCAUCCAACGGCGCAAAAACUAAUAAGUACCAAGGGUUUGGUACUAUUAGUGAUAGUAUAAAAAAUAUAUAUAUAUAUAUAAUUAUUAUCAUCGUGUUUGAAAAGGUGCGCGAGGCGCACUGCGAGCGCUCGCGGCGCCUCAAGAAGGUGAGGCGCACAGUGAUGUUAAUUUGAUAUUCUAUAUUAAUAAAAAUCCAAAAUAACUAUACAUAAGCUAAAUAACUAUAAAAAAAUUAAAAAAAAGAAAAACAUAUUGCAUAUAGGUUCUCAGAGUUUAAAAAAAAAUUAUUCGACUUUCAACUUAAAAGUGAUGAUUGCCAUGUUUUCAUUUGGCCUCAAGAAAGAAAGGGGCGGAAAAGAAGGAGAGUGCGUUGAGGAGAGGAGCGCGGUAGAUGGAUUUCAUUUAAGGGCCUUUUUUUAGGUUACUUUUAUAAUUUAUCGGACUUAAAAUAACUAAAUUUAUAGUUCCUUGAAACGAAUAACCCGAAAACUUUUAAUCCAAUUCAAAAAAUAUUAAAUAUGCCGAGACGCGCGCCUUAUUGCGCCUCGACGCCUCGCCUAGGGCGCGCGCUCAGGCCUAGGCGCGCCUCAACAAUAGACCCGCCUCGCCUUGCUGAGGCACGGGGCCCGCGCUCAGCGCUAGACGAGGCGUGCGCCUAUUCAAACCUGAUAUAUUAUAUAUAAUUAUAAUAUAUAUAGAUAGAAGAGGAGAGGGAGAGAGAGCAAGUUGUGGACUGGGCCUUAUUAGUAGCAAAUUCCAUUGUAUGCUACCGUUUUUUAGUUUGGAUCAACUCUUUCAUUAUUUUAACAUUGGGAUUAAAUACUAUAACGCCGAAUGGACCACUCAACCUAGCGGGACCACUCAAUCUAAGACAAUAUCAUCCUGACCCUACAAUUUUAUCAAGGGUUUAAAACUUGAUAGCAAAAGAGGUUUUACUAUAUAUAUACUUACAUAGAUUAGCGCUAUAGAAUAUAUAAUAGUAGAAAGCACCGUAUUUUUGCUAUCAAGUUUUUACGCUUUGGAUAAAAAAAUUGAUGUCAGGAUGAUAUUAGUUCGGUUAGAGUUGAGUGCGUCCCACUGGGUUAUGUAUUUAAUCCAAUGUUGAGAAAUAAUGAAAAGAGUUGACAGGCCGGAAAAAAACUAUUUCACAGAUGAGAUUUUGCUACAAUAGUUAGCCCACCAACGUCUAUUUAAUAUACUUAUAUAUAUACUUAUAUAUAUAUUAUAUAUAUAAUAUAUACUUAUAAGUAUAAUAUACAUACUUAUAUAUAUAUAUAUAAGUUUAUAUUAUAUAUAUAUAUAUAUAUUAUAUAAUAUAUAUAAGUUUAUUAUAUACAUACAUAUAUAUAUAUUAUAAGUUUAUAUAUAUACACAUAUAUAUAUAUAUAGUUUAUAUAUAUAACAUAUAUAUAUAUAUAUAUUAUAUAUAUAUAUAUAUAUUAUAUAUAUAUAAUAUAUAAUAUGUAUGUAAUAGAAUUGAAGCUAGAAUACUUUUACAAGUAUUACUCCCAUGAUGCUAUUAGGUUUUUAGCAUCGGAUCUACUCCUUGAUUAUUAAUUAGUCAUUGGAUCAACACUAUUCAUAACUAUAUAUGUAUAUACAUAUAUAUGUAUAUAUAUGUAUAUUACAUAUAUAUACAUAUAUAUGUAUAUAUGAUAUGUAUAUACAUAUAUAUGACUAUAUAUAAUAUAUAUAUAUAUAUAUACACAUGUAUUAUAUAUAAUGUACAUACAUAUAUAUAUAUUAUAUAGAGAGAGAGAGGCAGGGCUGCUAUGCUCUCAGGAGCACGGAGCCUCCUGCUCCUGAGCCGUUUUCGAUGAUGGAUUUUCGAAUCGACGAUCGCUCCAUUAGACUUGAUCUAGCGCAUUUUGAAGUUUCUAGAAAAAAUUUUUGUGAUUUUUUAAUUCAUUUACCUAAGUGAUCGAAAGGAUUAAAUCUAUAAUUUUUAAUGGUUUGAUAUCUGCCUUUUCAAGUUUACGGUUUAGAAGUAUUCAAAUCAAGAUGAAUUUUGAUAGAAAAUUUCUUUAUUAUAUCUACAACAAGAAUCAAUAUUUCUGAUCGAAAUUUUAGUCUUAUAUCACCACUUUUUAUAGGAUUUUUUUUCAGCCCGUUAUAAAAUUAUUGAUUUUGAAUCUUUCGAUUGCUAGGUAAAAUAAUAUCGAAAAUCGCAAAUUAUUUUCUAGAAACUUUAAUACACUAGAUCAAGUUUAACGGAGCGAUCGUCGAUUCGAAAAACUCCAUCAUCGAAAAGGCUCAAGAGCACGGAGGCCUUCGCUGCUCCUGAGAUGCACAGCAGACCCUGCUUAUAUAUAUAUAUAUAUAUAUAUAUAUAUAUAUAUAUAUAUAUAUAUACUUAUAUAUAUAUGCUCACAAUUAGCACCGAGAUAACAGAAGAAAAUAACUCUCCUAAUUUAAACUCACAAGAUGAAGAGAGAUAAACAAAGGAAUAGACCAAUGAUGGAUAAUAAUAGCACUCAAUCCACAGCAGAAAAGGCAAUAACUUGUGUCUUCUCAGAAAGAUAGGGUCGGUCAUGGGUGAGUUCUUGUUAUUUUAUGACUGAAAAGGCGACAGCACCAUGUCCGCCGCUGAAAUUCUUUUGUUUUUUUUUGUUUGAAUUUUCCUCAUAAGUUAAGUAAAAAUUCCAUUAAAUUUAACGGCUCAAUAAGGCAUUAGUAUUUAUUUAAUAAAUCUAUUUAAAUUUGCUAUAAAGUAAAACUAUUAAAUUUGAUAAAAUCAUCAAUGAGUUUAAUAAAACUACUUAUUUGACAACUUUAUUCCAAAAAAUUAGUUUAGGAAGUGUCAAUCGGAAAAAAAAAUAAAAAUAAACAAGUUCAGGGUUACUCUAGAAUGGCCUAUAGUUAAGGCCUUAAGGGGGUCUCCAUACUAAUAUUUUUUGAAAUUGAGUGGGUAUAGUCAGAAAGAUUAAGGAUUCUCUAAUUCAUGGUGAUUGCACCAGAUUUAAUAUCUUACAGUCGUUUCUUAGCAAAAGAACUACACAAAUUAACAGUUAAUAGCAAAUAGAGUUAUUAAACUUGCCAAAAGUUUUAACAUAACUAAGUAUUAAAUAAAUCAAAUAAAAGAAUAAAAGUUUGAGAGAUGGGGUCCCAAUCAAAAAAAAAUAAAAGUUGAGUAUAUUUUGAAAUGGCCAAUAGAUAAGGGGGUCACCAUACAUUGUCACCUCUAAUGCCUCAUGCGGUGGAGAGAAGUUAGGCCUCGCACGCGGGGAAAAGGGGUUUAUCACAAAGUGAUUGAUCUCCAUAACUUCUAUUUUUUGGAGGUCGAAGCAAUUUUUCUUUUUACAUUGGUUUAAUAGGAUUUUUACUCAUUAUUCUAGUAAAAUAAAAUAAUCCGAUUGGUAUGCAAACACCUCCAAUGCAGAAUGUAUAAUACAGUUUUAAAAACUAUUACAAAUAGCUUAUUUUCAAGGUAAUUCGGGGUACCCAAACGAGCCCUUAAAACUUUAGAUAUCAUGAGGCGUGCACCUUGCACCUCAGGCACGGCAUCAUGCCUUGGAAACAAACAAAAAAGCAGGCUAUUGGGAAAAGACAAAGAUGCUAACAAUCAUAAACCACUCAAUGCUGUUGAUAAUGGGGAGCAAAUGUGAGAAGACAUACAAAAUAACAAUUAAGGAAAUGUUUGAUUCUUCCAUUAAGUACAUAAAUUUGCCUUAUCAAAACUCAAAAAGGAUGCUUAAUAUAUUGCCUAAAAAUUACGUAGGCGAAAAACAAAGAAAAUCCCCCAAAAAUAGAAGAUCCACCAACAAAUUUGUAUUUGGCAAAGCAUAAACUUAAGCGUAAACUUGUGCUGAACUUGCUAGACCCAGUCAUAGCGCUUGUUGGAUUUAGAUCUUGCAAAACAUUGUCUAACUAGGGCAACUUCUUAGGAUAGUACAUUCCACCCAACAUAUGAUUUAUCAUGUUUCACAAAAAUUUAUCUAGAGGUUGUAUAUAUAUUAUGCAAUUGUAGCUUCUACUAUGCUCAAUGAACCAACUAUAUGCUCCUAAGUAAAACAAAAGAGAAACAGUGAACAACAUAUUCAAGUGUCGAACCCGGCCCUAAGAAAGAAGCAAGAAUUUUUAUAACUAGAAAUGACACAUCAGUCCACGGCAGGCAUGCUAACUAAGGCAAUCAAUUGUGAACUCUUAGAUAAGGUAAAGCAAGUUACCAUCUCUUAGCUGUGCUUGUUGCUCCAUGGCUUGAAGGCGGAACUUCAACUCAUUGUUUUGACUUGUAAGUCCAGCCGAGUCUCUCUAUGAACAACUCCAAAAUUAGAGGAAACACAACUAUGCAAAAGAAAAGAAAAAUGGCAAUUAUAACAAAGUCUUUCUAUAAACUUUCAGACAAACAAACCUGCAACAAUGUCAACUGUGCCGACAAUGUUGUCGCUUCUGUCUGCAAAAUCUGAACCUUAUGCUCCAGCUCAGAAAUGUAGCGCAUCUUUCUUUCCUUAGAACGAGCGGCAGAUUGUCGGUUUGCCAAAAUCCUGUAAACAAAAUUUCACAAGUUAAACUAAGCCGACCAAACCUACCAUUGUAUUGCACGAAAUGCAUGUUCGGCCUGGCUUCUAGAAAAGUUUAUCUGCUCUGAAGAGCGAUGUAUAAAAGUUUGGCAGACACGAAACGCGGGCUUUUUGAAGCUGAAAUGAGCUUUUGAACACGGAAGAAUUGCUGCGCUAAGGGAAGCAGUCAGGAAUAAUACCAAUCAAAAAGCUAUUAGCUCUUUUGCGAACAACUAUACUCAACAUCACUUCCACACAAGCUCAUGCCACGCCAACAAGCUUAUGUAGAAGUGCUGUUUGAGCAGAGAUAUAUGGUAAAACCUCGGUAGAACUUCUUCAUUACAAUCCUUCAAACAGCUCACUCCUGCAGCUAGCAUCAAAUUAGAAAUUGGAGCUUCCGCAUUUGGACUCCAAAGCCCAUACAGCUUCCCGCUCCAGCAGGAAGCUUCAAACUUUCAAUAAACAGGGUCUGAAUCGAGCCCGGGGAAUGCAAAAGAGAAGACCUCUUGACUCGUUUGGGAUCGGUCAGUGCCAUCUCCGCAAGCUUGUCAUUCUCCAUAAUCUUCUUCAUCUCAGCGGGACUAAAUUCCCCAUUCCCGAACUCCAAAUUGAACUCAUUGGUGUUCUCAUCCAAGGAUCCGCUUCGUGUGAGCAGCCCCGCCUGGCCGCCAGGGGACGGAGACGGUUUCGGCGAUUCGUCCUCAAAAUUGAGCUUGCCCAUGAAACUAUCCACGGAUACGCUUCUCACAUGGCGAGGGUUCACGGGAACCGGGUCUCCGCUGGCACUCCUCUUGGUCCCCUCCUUCUUCCCCGUCGGCAGCUUCUCGCUGACGCUGCUCUCGGCCUCGUUAUCGCUGCUGUCGUUGUUGGUCCUGGUGCCGCUGGCGCGGCUAUCCAAGUCCUCCCUCUUGUCCUCCGUGUUGCCUGAGGAAUUCAGGGUUUCCAAGCUGUCGAGGUUCAUGUAGGCGUUGAAGAGAUCGUCGCCGUCGGCAUUGCUGUUCGCCUCCCGCUCCCAAUCCGACGACUCCUGCUUCACGAAGGGCUGCUGCGGCGGCGGCGGCGGCGGCGACAGCGGGGGCCGUCUUGGGGAGGCGUCGAAGAGCCCGUGGCCAGUGCGGUGGGGGAGGGGCGGGGGGGGGUGGGGGGAGGGACGAGGAGGAAGGGGAGGUGGAGGGGAGGAACCCGAAGGAGACGUCGCUGUGGGAGCGGCGGUGCGCCUUGCGGGGCGGGAGCCCCUCGGCUCCGCCGCGCGCCGGCGCCGCCCUGCCGAGCGGCGGCGGGGUCCCACCGCGCUCCUCCGGCGCCGCGCCGGAGAAGGCGAAGGCGAAGGCGAAGGCGACGGGCUCAAAGGGGGCAACGAGUCGAGCGAGAAGAACGCGGGUGGGACAGCGACCGCGAGUGCCGCCGCCAAAGCCAAAGCCAUGGGCGGAGGGGGGCGGAGGAUGUGAGAGGUAGGGGGAGGAAGAAGACGAAGACGAACCGAAGCCGAAGCGAAGCCGAAGCGAAGCCGAAGCGGACAGAGAGGCAUCUGGGGGGGCCGGGGGAAGCCUAUGGGCCCGAAGGACCGAGGCCCGUCGCCACGUGGCGGUACGGCGCGUACGGACCGCCGAUUUGCUGCCCCGCGGCUCACGAGCUUCGGCAUCGGCGCCGACGCCGACGCGGCGGUCGAAGGCGACGAUCUCAGCGUUGGAUCAAGUCGCCCUCGUCCAUUUAUUUCCCACUCUCUCCUCUCCCCUCCCCUCCCCUCCCUCCCCCCCUUCUUUCUAGAAAUUGGGGUUUUGGAUCAUAUAUAGCACCCCCGGCGGAGUAGUCAAUGCGGGAUUUUACCGGCGUAAGUCUGCGCCGGAUUCGGGCGGAGUAGUCGAAGCGUCGCCGACUUCUUCUUUCUUUCUUUCUUUCUUCUGCUUCUUCUUUCUUUCUUCUCCUUCUUCUUUCUCCUCUCCCUCUCUGGGCACACUGUUGCGCCCCCACACUCCCCCCUCUCCGUGUGGAGACAAAAAAAAAAAGAAAAAACAAAAACAAAAGUUAUAGCAACCGUUACAUGUCACGGUCAAUUCACUGCCGAGUGGGCCCCACGUGGCAUGUAACGGUUACACGGAGGAGCCCCUCCUCUUUGUAGGCUCUCUCUCUCUCUCUCUCUCUCUCUCUUCCCUGCUUGGAAAUACGCGUAGCAUAAUUCUUCUAUAUAUAUAUAUAAAAUAUAUUUUUUUCUUUUUUUUUUUGCAAAUUUUUCCAUUUCAUUUUCUUGGUGACGCGUCGGCCGCUCUUUUGACCUUGUAAUUUUUGAUUUAGUAGUAAUUUUACGCUCGCUUGGGAUUUCACCAAAAGCGGCCGUGAUUUGCGGCCCCGUGUUUAACUCAAUUGGACCGGUCCGGUUCGAACCGCCGCCGAAACCGGGUUCAUUACUCAAAAAUUCAGAAACAUAAUGACAAUAGAUUAAGAUGAAAAUAAAUAGAGGCUGCCCUACUGUUUAAUCAAACAUAUUAAAAAGUUUAAUAUUAAAAUCAAAAAUUUGAAAAAUUAUUCAUAGUUCAUACAAGUUUUAUACAUUUUUACCCUUUUUCUUUUGAGCUGCUAUUCUGAAAUAAACACCUCAAUUUUAACUAUUUUUUUGAUUGGCGCUUUUUAAGUAUCUAAUUUUUCAAAAAUUUUGAGUUAUUCUAGUUUGUAGAGUUAAAUAGUUAAUUAAAGUUCAUAGUUCAAUCAAGUAUGAGCAGUUUAUUAAUCUAAUUUUAUUUGGUACAACUAAAUUAAACUACUAAAUUUGAUAAAAUUGUGUAUAAAUUUGAUAAAUUUUUAAUUAAUUUAUCUAAAAUCAUUUUAAUUCUAAAAAAAUGUUUAGGAGCUAUUUCAAAAGUGCUUUUCGCUGAGGGGUCACCAUAUAUUUUUACCAUAAUUUAUAAUUUUUUAGAUAAGGUAAUUUUAAUCAAAUAUAUUCUUUAUAAUUUUUCUAAUCCAAGAGUGAUCUGGCAAAAUUUAAAAGCAUACCUUAAUAAUUAGUGGAACUAUCAAAUUUUAAAAAUUUUGAAUUGAAAAGUUCUUAAUUCAAUCAAGUAGAAUAAUUCAAUUAAAAAAAUUAAAAAUCAAGGAGGCAUUUUGAAGAGAAAAAAAAAAAUGAGGCUCAUAUUUCAAAAGCUCCUAUAACUGAGGGGUUCUUAGUAGUUAGUACACAAUGUCACAGUAAAUAAGAUAUAAGCAAUGCUACAUCUACAGUAAGUUUUUGAUUGAUCUUACAACAUCUCUGUCCAACGGCUAAGAUUCUCCUACUUAUUUUGUAUAUUCUCCUUAUUUUAAAUACUAAAUUUAAAAGAAAAUAAGUUCAACACUAAGGAAAAAUAUCUCAACCCUUAGAUGAGGAUUGUAAUCUUAACAAUACUUUUUUGAAUCGUAGAUUUAGUGUUUCUUAUAAAGUUCCUCAAACUAUGAGAAAAGGAACAUUCUUGUUUUUUAAUUUUAAUUUACUAUAAUUUAUGAAUCGAGUUUUGUAAAUUUUUACAAUCACAUCAUACAAUUCAAUUUAGUUUAUUUAAAUAUUAACAUAUUGCUUAUUUAGAACCGAUGUGACAUCUCAAUUAUUAUUAUUGUGUCAUCAAUCAUAACACUGUUAUAUCACUUUUAAACUAAUGACACAUUAAUAUUAAGUUAAUUAAAUUUGAUUAUAAGAUAUGCCCCUAUCAAGUCAAAAAAUUUGAACUAGAAGUUAUAAUAAAUCAAAAUUUUGAAGACAAAGGUGACACAUGCCCCAUAAUUUGAGGACCAAAAGUAUAGUUUAGCCAAACAAUUUUUAUAUUAUCUAGCACUGUCAAUUAAGGUCUUGAUAAUUAGUGUCCGAAAUUCCAAAUUGAAAGUGGUUACUUUAUAUUUCUAAUUUAUUUUAUUGGCUAAAUUACAGGAAACUUUUCUGUCAAUACCCAAUUUUUCACUUUUCUCAAUGUCAUUCAAAAAUCUACACUUUGCCCACUAAAAAAAAAAAUUUCACUUUGACCCCCGCCGUCAGUGUUUUAUUAGGGUUUCGUUUAUAUCCUAUUUUUUAUACUCAAAAUAUUCUUGAAACUCUCAUCCUUCUUCACCGACCUUGGCUGGGUCACCUGGCCUUCCGCCACCUUACCCUCGUUCACUCUUCUGUCCAUGUCCACACACACAUUCUCGCCCUUCUCCACCACCUCUCCCUCGCCCUCACCCAUGUCCACCUCUUCGUCCACACCCAUCCUAAUUUUUCUCCCUACAGUUGCCGAAAUGAAAGGGCGGUGAGGAUGCUGGAGGAGCGAGGGAGUAUGUGGAGGAAGCAGAGUCAAAACUGAAGUCGAGAGAGACACGAAGAACGGAGGAGGAGAGUCUGCGGCUGAGGAUAUGAGGUUUCGGAUUGGGAAGAAGACGAAAAGGAUAAGGAGUAAUUUGGUUAUUUUGUUACAGCGUACCCUCCUAUGAAUAUUUUUUAUUUUUUAAUGAUAGAGUAUAGAUUUUUGAAUAACAAAGAGAAAAAGUAAAAAAAUUGGAGGGAAAUAAAAAACUCCAAGAGUAGAAAUAAACAAAGCGGUUUACUAUGCUAAUUUUCUCUAAAAAAUAAAUAAAUAAAUAAACUCCAAGAGUAGAAAAAAAAAACAAUAAAAAAUAAAUUGUGAACGGGUGCCGGUCUAAGUGGACCGGGUCGAAUAAAAAAAAUCGCAGUGGAGGGGAAAUUGCCGCAGUAUCAUCGAAUUAAUUGCGCGGGCUCUAAAGGGCAACAACAUUUUCGUUAUUCCUAAUAUAUCCCCAACCAGUUAAUUACGGAAAUUAUGUCGGCCAAAUGGACGGUGGAUACGAAGGGGAGUGGGAGCAAUCCAACCGUCCGUAUCAGCUCUACUACAUGAUUAUAUCCAAACAAGGAAAUCCGUCACCGUGAUCCACGCCAUAUAUUUUGGAAAUAUAAUUAAGAACAAUUAAGUAACAAUUUAGUGGAAAUCGUACGGCUUAAGAAGAUAAUCUCGUGGCGUUAAUUACCUUCCAUUUGUGAAUUUCGACCGUUGGAUAAAGGCAAUCAACGGCAAUAAAGGAAGGAGAUUUGCGGAGGAUAGGAUUGGUUGAUAAUGUCGGCACGUAGGGUGACCGUCGUUUUUGUCACCUAUAUUUCAACUGAUCAAUUUUUUUUAAAAAAAAUAUAAUAAAAAAUAUUUUUAAAAAAAUUUAUGAUGUUAUGGAUAAAAUCUAAAUAUUAUUGCUUAAAAACACAAUAUUAUUUGUGUGACUGCGACAUUUUAGAUUCUUUCUAUUAUUUACGUUACAGUUUUAGAAUAACUUAAAAAAAAGUUAUAAAUAAAUAUAUAAUAAAGAGGUGGGGAGACUCUACAGCAAUGUUAUCUGUGACUGUAUACUACAAAAAGACCGGGGCCAAAAAUUAGUUAGUUUUUUUUUAUUUUUUUAUUAUUAAAUUAAAAUAAAUUAAAUUUUAGAAUAUGUAUGUAUAAAAUAAUUAGUAUAUAUAAAAACCAAAAUUUCAAAGUGAUUAGGAAUUAAAAAAUAUAGAAUUUAAGACAAAAAAAUUGGGAGAUUGUUAAAAUGAAUUAGUUAAUGAAAGAACAACGUUAUUUAUACAUCAUAUUAGUAAUGUACAUCUUACACUUUUUUUUCAUUCAAGGGUUUUAAUUUUCUUUUGAUACUAAAAAUUCAAGAAAUUUCUAAAUUCUUGGAUGAUCGUAUAAAAUAUACACUCCUCUAGCAUUAUCCUUUAUAAAAAAAUUACGCUUACUGUAUUCUUUUUUUAUUUCAUCAUAAAUAUUAAUUGUUAAAUAGGAUAUUAAACUAUUACUUUUUGCAAAUCACAAAAUAUCAUAAGUAUAUAUAAUAGAAAGAUAAAAUAUUAUAUUGUGCUUUUUCGUGAUUUAUACAAAGUAUUAUUUUACUAUUCUAAUUUUCGGCAAGAACUAAUGAUGAAAUAAAAAUAAAAAAGUAACAUUACAUAAUAGUCAAGUCUAAUUUUUUAUAGGAACAUCCUAAAAUUUACUGGAAGCAAAUUGAAGUUUAUUCACAUUUCCUAGUUCGAAUCCUAGUUCAUUCACAUUUUCAAUUAAGUUUAUUUCUAAAUGAAAUAAACGAAACUGGUAGCGUGCUAUCUAUCUCUCUAAAAAAAAAAAAUUGUAUAUUUAUUCCCAUAAAAUUUUAUAUAUUCCUAAAAAAAAAGUUUACUUUUUAAAUAUAUCCCACUAAAAUUAUAUAGUUUACAAAUAUACUUUUCUUUGUUAGUUAAUUGAUUAAAUUUGACUUUGCUUUUAUAAAAUAUUCGUUUUACUCUUGAAUUAAAAUUUGAAAAAUUAUAUUUAAUAGUAGUUAUUAUUUUUAAAAUACAUAGCUAAUACUAUUUAUUAAUUUUACUAUUUUUAUUAUAUACUUCAUCUCAUUUUAUUGUGACGAGUCUUUCCAAGGAGAUCAUCAAUUCUAGAAUUAUUCUAGCCCUAAUAUGCUCAAAUUAUUAUAAUGGGAUUUAGAAACUUCAAAGUAUUGGACAAUAUAAAACUCGUCUCACUAAGCUUAGCCGACCUCGUUGGAAAUCACGCUCCACCCACGAUAGUUGUCAACCAGAGAGCCGCGUUUUGUCCGCUAUAUGAUACUCGCUAGUAAAAAUUAAAAUUUAUAAAAUUAUAGUUUUAAGAGAGCCAAAUUAAGUUUUUUUAAUAAAUUUGUGUCCCGAUUUUAUCUCUUUUCAGCUCUUACAGUAUUACUUCUUUUUAAACACACCUAAUAAAUUUUUAUUAUUACUAUUUUUUUUUUUUUUUUUUUUGUCAAAUCUAAAUUUUGACAUUCCAAGCCUUUAUAUGCUGAUAAUAAUUUGUUUUCAAAUCAAACUGUACCUUUUACGGGAUAAAUGGUCGGUCGGCGCCUCGACAUUCGGGAUGAGGUGACGUCACAGGAUUGACUGGGACCGUUGGUCGAACGGACUGGUACCGCGAGCACGUUCUCCCCCAUGCAACGUGGCAUUCAGACCGAAAACGACCCUCCCCUCUAUUAGAGGCGCAAAUCAUGUGACGUGGGGAUUAAAUUAAAUGAGUUAAUGAGUUAAUUUUAUAGAGAUUCCUACGAAUAAUGUAAAUGAUAAAUAUAUUUUUAUAAAAUUUAAUUUUUAUAUAUUAUUUUUUAAAAAAUUUUAAUUUUUUUAAAUAAAUCUCUAUUAUUAGAAUUCGUAAGAAAAAUUUAAUUAAUCGUAUAUUGAAUAUUUAAUACUGGUUAAUUUUUGAUAUUUUUGCCUUUUUUAUAUUAUACUGUUAUGACUUUUGGAGGAAUAUAACUCUGAUGGCAAAAUUGAAAUAUAAAUAGUAUUCUAACGGUUUUCUAACAGUAUCAAACCAGAUGCAGAUAGAUAUAUUUAAAAAUAUUAGAACUUUUGUAAGGACAACAUAUGAAAAUUAAACUUUAUAUGAAUAUUUUUAUAAUUUACUAUAUUUAUAGGGAUAUGUAUGAAAUAAAUCUAAAUUAAAAACUUUACCAACCAUUCAGUUGGACCAGUUACUAAAUCACCCCGGUUUAUAUUUGCGGACGAUUUGGGCGAAGAAAUUAUGGCCUACACACAAUUUUUUUUUUUUUACUUUUUUUAGUGAUUAACUAUUUAAUAAAUCCGUGCAAUACUGCAUAUAUAUAUAUAUAUAUAUAUAUAUAUAUAUUGUGCUGGUAUGCUUCUGGAAACACGGAGUCCCCUGUGCUUCUAAGUUGUUUUUGAUGUUCGGACUUUCGAAUCGACGAUCGGCUCCGUUAGAGUUGAUCUAGAGUAUUUGAAGUACCUAGAAAAUAAAUUUUGUGAUUUUACGAUUUCAUUUGCCUAGUAAUUGAAUGGCUCAAAAUCAAUAAUUUUAACGACCGUGGUGAGCCAUUUGCAAGUUUAACGGUGUAGAAAUAUCCAAAUCACAUGAAAUUUUGAUAGAAAAUUUUUUAUACCGUAUAAAACAAGAUCAAUAACUUUGAUAUAAAAUUUUAAUGUCAUAUCAUCAUAUUUUGUAAGAUUUUUUGUUUUCAGCCGUUGAUUUUGAGCCACUUCAAUCACUAGCAAAUAGAUAUCGAAAAAUCGCAAAAUUUAUUUUCUAGAUACUUCAAAUACUCUAAAUCAAGUCUAACGGAGCCGAUCGUCGAUUCGAAAGUCCAAACAUCGAAAACAACUUGAAAGCACGGAGCGCUUAGUGCUUUCAGAAGCAUACCAGACGCUUAUAUAUAUAUAUAUAUAUAUAUAUAUAUAUAUAAUAUAUAUAUAUAGUAGGGCAACUAUACUCUUAUCAGUAUUGGGCCCUUUGUACUCAUAAGUUGUUUUCGAUGAUGGAGCUUCCGAAUUGACGAUUCACUCCGUUAAAUAUGAUUUAGAGUAUUUGAAACUUUUAGAAAAUAAAUUUCGUAAUUUUUUAAAAUCAUAAUAAAAAUCAUAGCGGGCAUAAAAUGAACGGUCAAAAUCGAACGACGUCCUAAAAAUGGAUGAUUGGAUCCUUCAAUUUAAGAUCGGAGUUAUUGAUAUUUAUCUAGGUAGCGAAUAGAAUUUUCUAUCAAAACUUCAAUCUAUUCCGAUUCAUUUACACCGUUAAACUAGCAAGUAUCCAUACCGGCCAUUAAAAAUUGUCAAUUUUGUGAGCUUUUGAUCGUAAGGCAAAUGAUGUCGAAAAAUUAUGAAAUUUGAUUUCUAGAAGUUUUAAAUGCUCUAGAUAAUGUUUAACGGUAUGGAUCGUCGAUUUAGAAGCUCUAUCAUCGAAAACAACUUAUGAGCACGAAGACGAUGUACUCAUAAGAUACAGUAGCGGACGUAUAUAUAUAUAUAUAUAUAUAUAUAUAUAGUUGAGCUAGAAUACUAUCGAUAGCAAAUCAGCACUUUUGCCACCCAUUUGUUUUUGAUGAUGGAGUCUCCAAAUCGACGAUCGGCACCGUUGAACAUGAUCUAUACCAUUUGAAGUAUUUAGAAAUCAAAUUUCAUACAUUUUCAAUAUUGUUCUCUUAUCUAUCGAAUGGACACAAAAAUAAACGGCUGAAAAUGAAUAUUUCUUAAAAAAAAUGAUGAUAGGUGUCUUGUAAUCAAGAUCAAGAGUACAGAUCUUGUUUUAAAUAGUUUAAAGAAUUUUCUAACAAAAAUUCAAUUGAUUUGGAUAUCUUUACGCCGUUAAAUAAGAAAACGCCUCAUAUCGACCAUUAAAAUUACAAAUUUUGAAACCCUUUGAUCAUUAGGCAAAUGAUGUCGAAAAGAUUUGAAAUUUGAUUUCUAGACACUUCAAGUGGUAUAAAUCAUGUUCAACGUUGCCGAUCAUCGAUUUGGAGGCUUCAUUAUCGAAAACAAAUGAGUGGCAAAAUUGUCAGUUUGCUAUCGAUAGUAUUCUAGCUCAACUCUCUCUCUCUCUAUCUCUAUAUAUAUGUAUAUAUAGAGUCCGGCUACUAUGCUAUUAAUAGCACGAAGCACUUGGUGCUAUCAAGUUUUCCGCCAUUAGAUCUACCCUUUUGAUCAUUUUCACCCGUUAGAUCAUACUAUUCAACCAACCACGUACUCAACCCUAGGGGACCCACAUCAUCCUAACCGCACAUCUCUUAAUCCAAUGGCCAAAAUUUUGGUAGCACUAAUGACUUGGUGCUAUUAAUAGCAUAGUAGCCUAGUUAUAUAUAUAUAGGCAAAACUUCAAAAACUCCCCCGUGGUUUCAUAGUUUCUCACUUUGCCCCCCUGUAGUUUAAAAUGUAUUAAAUUGCCCCCCUGUGGUUUUGUUUUUAUCUUUUGGGUAGCUUUUUCGUUAAUAUUUCCUUAAAUUAUAUACAAAAAACUUCGGAUACCUAUCUAGAUUUAUCAAAUAUUCACUUUAGUACCCUUUAAUUUUAACUUUAUCACUGAUUUAAGAAAAAAAAAUAAUGAAAUUGAUAAAAAAAAGAGAAAAACGAAACCACAGGGGGGCAAAUUGAUACAUUUUAAACCACAGGGGGGCAAAGUGAGAAACUACGAAACCACAGGUGGGGUUUUUGAAGUUUUCCCAUAUAUAUAUAUAUAUAGAGCAGGGCUAUUGUGCUAUUAGGAGUAUAGCAGCCCCUGUGCUCCUAAUUUUCUGACCAUCAAUCAAACUUGAUGGGUGGUUAGAAUGAGAGAGGAAAAAAAAUGUUGAAGAGAAAUUCAAGGAGAAGAGAAAUUGAGACACCCAAUUUCUCCCCAAUAUCUCUUCCCUCUCUAAUUCUAACUACCCAUCAAACUUGAUGGAUGGUUAGAAAGUUAGGAGCACAAAGACUGCUGUGCUCUUAAUAGCACAGUAGUCCUGCUCUCUCUCUCUCUCUCUCUCUCUCUCUCUAUAUAUAUAUAUAUAUAUAUAUAUAUAUAUAAAUAAUUGAGUUAGAAUGCUUUUAGAAGCACCAAACCCUUGGUGCUUCUAAGUUUCUAGCUCUUGAAUCUACUCCUUAAUUACUAAUAUCCCUUGGAUCAAAUAUUAUUCCACCUACCACCACCCACCACCAUCAUCUCAACCCUACAUCUCUCCAUCCAAUGAUUAAAAACUCAAAAGCACCACCCCCUUGGUGCUUUUGACAGUAUUCUAGCUCAACUAUAUAUAUAUAUAUAUAGUAGGGCUACUAUACUCUUAUGAGUAUAGAGCCCUUCAUAUUCAUAAGUUAUUUUCGGUAUUGGGCUUUUCGAAUCGACGAUCUACACUGUUAAACAUGAUCUAGAGUAUUUGAAACUUCAAGAAAAUAAAUUUCGUUAUUUUUCGAAAUUAUUAUAAAGUCUAUCAAGCGGGUAUAAAAUGAACGAUUAAAAUCGAACGACAUCUUAAAAAUGGAUGAUCGGAUCCUUCAAUUUAAGAUCGGAGUUAUUGAUCUUUAUUUAGGUAGUGAAUAAAAUUUUUUUAAAAAAAUUCAACCUAUUCCGAUUCUUUUUUACCAUUAAACUAGCAAAUAUUUCAUACCGGCCGUUAAAAGUUAUCAAUUUUGUGAGCUUUUGAUCGUAAGGUAAAUGAUAUCGAAAAAUUAUAAAAUUUGAUUUCUAGAAGUUUUAAAUGCUCUAAAUAAUGUUUAACAGUAUGGAUCGUCGAUUCGGAAGCUCUAUCAUCGAAAAUAAUUUAUGAGUACGAGGGCGAUCGUACUCAUAAGAGUAUAGUAGCCGAAUUCUAUAUAUACAUAUAUAUUGAGACAGGUUUUGGCGGUAGGCCUACGUAGAGUUGGCGGUUUAUGGACCACUUGUGGAAACCGAGGAAAGCGGCUUGGCCGGUAACUCUGUCGAGGAGCUUGGCCUAAAGUCACGAAUGAAACAUUCGUGUGAGUUGAUUGCGACAACGAAGUUGUAUUGGUCGUGGCUAUGAUGGCAAACGAUGAAAUGCUCUAGCGAGACAUUGAGCUAGAGGAAGCCACAUGAGAAUGGGAGCUUGAGGAUAAUGUCUUUUUGUGGAUUGAGAUUGGAGAUGUUCCGGAGUGUGCCAUCUCGCGAUAGGGCAAGAAAACGGUUGGAUUGGAGCACUCAUGAUUGGUCGAUGCACCAACGAUAUUGCGUCUAAUUAAGCAAUGCCGGUGAUCGAAUCGGAGUGAACUUCCCGAGGGAACAUGUAACGCAAGGGACGGUUCCAAUAAGUGAAAGGCCAGUCCAAAGUGAAAAAGUGCAUUGGUGCCCUCAAAUGUUCGAUAAGUUGAAUUGAGGUGCGGUUUGAGUUUCGCGGACGAAACUCUUUUUAAGGAGGGGAGAAUGUAACAUACCGGACUUCUAAAGUUAUGAAGUCACGGUGUAUGUUGGGUUGGAAAACUAUUUGAAUGGUUCCGGUGAGGUUCGGUGAAGUUCGAAUGCUUUUGGGCGUUUCGGUACGCGUAGGCGCGAAAACGGAACCCGAAAGGCUAUGUUGGGCCGUGAGCUAAGUUCGGCAUUAGCGUGGAUGAAAAGAUGAUGGAGACAUGUUCGAAAAUAUGUUUGGAGAAUGUAACAUAUUGGAAUCUAGAAGGAAUUAUCGAACUUUAGCCAAAUUGGCUAAAGCAUGCGAAUAAGAUGAAUGGACGAGUUCCAGUUAAUAUUCCAUCAAGGUUGGAAAGGUUAAGAUGAGUUCUAAAAGAGUUAGAAAGGUUUUAGCGUUGUCCGGCGCGAAAUAGAGUCGAAAACAAGCUAAAAACCAAGUCCGGAGCAUUGUGUACCGGUACAAGUUGAUGGUUGUACCGGUACAACAAGCGACCCGAAGAAUGACAGCUCUCGGGUUUGAGUGAAAAAGACUGUUAAACCGGUGACACGGGAAAGUGUACCGGUACACUUUGGCAGAAUGGCAAAGAAUUGGUCUGCUGCAAUUAUAAUUGAUUGGAGGGGUUUAUUUGCAAAUGUUACCUAAUGUAAUAGCCCUAAACCCCUCUCCCUCACAGCAGAUCUCUCUCCCUCUCUCCCUCUCUCCCUCUCGUGUCUCUCCCUCUCCCUCUCAACCGGUUGCAAGAAAAGGGGAAGGAAAAGAAGAAAAGAGAAGGAAGGAAAAGAAGAAAAGGAUGGAGAGGAAGAAGCUUACCUCCAUCUUCAUCUUCCUCAUGCUUGGAGGAACUUGAGAGGUAAACCAUUUGUCUCCUCUCAUGGUGGGAUUAGAGUUAGGGUUUAGUUUUUAAACCCUAAUACUUGGAGAUUUGGAGCUUCUAAUGUGUUUAGAACCAUGUAGAGACCAAGAACACAUGAAAUCCAUGGUGUUCUUCAAGGUGCUCUAAUGGUGGAUUUCUAGGGUUUGUUCUAAACACCCUAGAAAUAGUUCGGAUGCUCCUAGUUGAGCUCCUAGAUGCUAAGCAAGCUCUCUUUUGCUUGUUUUAUAGAGCAAAUCCAGAGUAUUGAGCAUAUGUCAUAUUAGGACAUCCCAAAGAGGGAUUUUGCUCAUAUGGGGUUUUGAUCUAUUUUGACCUCUUGGAAACCUAAUUGGGGACUUAACAAAUGUGUUGGCGAAGUCGGUUUAACCAUUCGUCGAGUGUACGCGAAGUUAUUGACAAAAUAGUGUUUUGCCGUACAGAUGGCCGCAGGACACGAAAUAAACGCCUAAAAAUCGUGGGAUCGGAACCGGAGCACCUUGGAGUCAAGGAAUAAGCACCGGAAAAGACGGAUCGCGAUUCGGAGGUCGUUUGGAGGUCGCGCAAAGUUCGGGCCAAAUCGGGCAACGGUUGCCGCGGGAGGCUGAUUGCAAGUGACUACAAGCAAUCGGAGCGCACGUUAAGGUGGGUUGUGUCUACCGAAGCGACUAGGUCGCCCUUAUGUCUAAGAAAUGCUAAGAAUCCUUGUUGAUGCAUAUACAUGUAAAUGUGGUUUAUGGAUUAUGCAUAUAAUCAAUGCUAGAUCGUGUAUGUUGAUAGUAUAAUGCAAAAUGCCAAGAUAGAUGCAUACAAAAUGAUAUAGAGAUCAUGAAUGCAAGUAAGUAUAAUAUACAAAGAGCAUGAUUAGCUUUGUGAGAUCGUAAAUGCACAAAAUGAACGUUAUGUUAAGCUACCACAUAGAGUACAUGACAUAUGGUGGUCGUGUUGUAUGUUAAAGAAUGACAAAUAAAGGACAUGUGUAUGUGGACAUAAAAUACAUAUAGAUCGAGUGGCAUCGAACCUAGAGUCUGAACCUAGGUUAAACAAGAAUGAAUGUGAACCUAAUGUUAGUAAACAAAGGUUGGGCAAGAGAAUCAUUGAACCUAGUGUUGAUAAACAUAGGUUAAGUAAGAAUGGUAUUAAACCUAGUGUUAAAGAACCUAGAAUCACAUGAACUUAGGUGAGCAAAGGUAAGGAACCUAGAGUAAAUAAACCUAGGCUAUGAGUAUGGAAAUAAUGAAUCUAAAGUAUUAACUUAGGUUGAGUUGUGAGGACUGAGAUUUCUGCAGUGUAGCUAAACUCUCAGUUGACGAUGUUUUUGUGUGUAAUUUAAUUACAAAAGCACUCGUCAAGUUUCGUGCGAAAACGAGUUAAAACGAAAAUUCUACGCGAUUUCCAAGUUUCACUUAAAGUGAAUAGUAACUCGAUUUUCCGGAGAAGCCGCGGUGAGAAGUUGGCUUCUGGCUCGUACCGGACUCUGUUUAUAGCAGUCCAAUAGCUCGUUUCGACCGGGUCAGCUAUUCUGGAACUAAUGACGCUGACGGAUUUUGAGUUUGACGCACGGAUCUCGAGAAAAUCCAAAAAUACGUGUUUUAUAUGUAUUUUUGUGUGAUUUCUUCUAUUGGUAGAAGGGUUGGAUUUUGUCGUGAAUCCGUGGUCGAUCAAGACGAAACGAAACCAGCUUGUUUCUACCCGAGUCAGUGCCUGAGCAGGCGCGAUAUGUGUGCACGGUACGUUAAGGUUUGCAGUCUUUUCAAUCUGACGAGAAGCAGCGCUGUAUAAAGUCUAAGCGAGUAUGGUAUCCGGAGAUCUAUCCAGCUUUGUCACGGUACUCAAACAAUUGCUUUACACUAAUUUGUGCCUUGUGGUUAAUGUUAUUAUAUUGUUAUUAAGUUAUUAUUUUUAGUGGGCUUCAAAGGUCACUAAAUCGACGGAGAGGUCGGUAGUAACUUUAUGGGCGUAUAAUAAAACAGUGAUGAUUUCGCAGAAACCAUGCUACACUAAUUAUCAUGUACCGCUUGGUGUCUCAGAUAAAGGCAAUCGUCACACCUGUGGAGGGUAUUUAUCUGUAAAGUAAAAGAUCCCAGUAACGCGUCUUAUCCAGAGUGCCGCUUUGCAGAGUAGAAACUAACUAUACCAGUUGGAAAUAUCACCUAAGUUAAGUGACUUUCUUGCAAUUUUGCGCCUUACUUAUAUUGUUUUCCUAUGGGUUUUCUUGUGAUCCCAGCCCUAUAUCAGUCCCAGUUAUACCCUAAGCCGCACCCUACACCCUCAUUCCUCACCUCCCUGCCUAAGCCGUCGCUUCCACAGCCGCUGCUUUCUAUUUCGAUUUAGCAAAUAAACCCUUAGCUGAAAAAUAUGACAUCAACGAGAGAGUCCCGAGAGACCUUCCGGCCGACAGCCACCUCGAGCCUCGUUUUCCUUCCUCUCCCUUUCUUGUUACCACUUUUCCUCUCCACCUCUGGACCCUGAGCCUAAAUGGAAGGAGCACUCAAACGCCCGCCCCCGGCCGCUCCACCUACCCACGACCUCUGGCCGCCGGCACCCGGGAUUUCGCGGAUGCGCACCAGAAUAAAGCCGCCUACGACGGAGCGUCGCCAAUCUUUUUGCCACUCUGCUAGGGCGAGACCUACGUCAGAUGGUUUAAAAAGCCUAUUAUUUGUAGGAUUUUGUUAACAAACAAGACCUUCCUAUAGCUUGCUGAGUUGCGUCCAGUAGCCGCAUCAAAGCACGCGGUAGACUAUGGCUUUGGGUCUAGACAUCCCAAGCAACAAUACUGCCACCGCGCACACUUUAUCGGAUCCCGCGUCAUACUUGGUUUAUAAUUAAGAUCCAGAAAAUAAUAAUAACCUGUGAAACAUGUCGUGGAAUACAAAUAAUAUCAAUGUUACCGCGUCAAGUGCCAUAAGUGCAGUGUCGUUCCUGUUCGAAUUCAGAUCGUUCGAUUUGCCCAUCACCUAGCUCUAACAAGCCCCCUUUUGCCUAAACUCGCCGAACGCCACAAGUCUCUAUAAGUUCCGCGACACGAUUGAACUGCUACAGAGGACGCACUCCUUAAGCCUCCACGGGUAGCCUGAGAACAAAUACGAGCUCAAAGUAAAGUUGCCCAUCUCUUGUCUGAUUAGGGCGUGACCGCACCGCCUCAAACACGCACGACUUGACACCACAAGAGUGCCUUGAGGUUGGCGCAAGACACGCUUUCCCUCUCCGUGGAUUCUUUAUACGCCACACAGUUAUCAAGUUCGGGUACGAACGGCCAUAGAGAUGCCAGCCAGAGGAGAAGGACGCACGCUGUUGACUCACGUGUGUGUUGAUUUGGUUCACGCCAUAAGAAAAUGCAAAUGCAAAAUAAUAAAAUAAUAAUAAUAAUGCCAUAUCACACAUAGCCUUGCGGAGAUCGAGACGGAUCGCAUAGAAGAGGCGAGAGACAUAGCUGACUUGGAGAGCGAUGUAGCGCCACACCCAGCCCCCCCUAUCUGUCCCCUCUUCAGACGCGGAUGAGCGCACGAACGAGCACAGCCGCUAAAUCAUUGGCCUUGAUUUGCAUCAAAGUGAUGCGCCGACUCUUAACCAUCUCAAAUAUUCCCGCAUGCACUCCCGAUGUACGCGUACUCCGUGCCGCUAAUAGUGCGUAUGCCACCAAAAACUGCUAUUUCAUCAACGCAUGAAUUACUUGCAUAGAUCUACUCGGCCUCUACCCAUCAUCUCUUGAUUUGGAUCAAAAGCCAAUAUGACAGCGCAAUUUACCAUCCUCAAGCUGCACUGGCCCUCAUUGAUAUUUGCGGUGUAUGUUGAUUUGGCGGCCAGUCUCGCGGCUGGGCACUGUGAUUCUGUGAACCACCCCUUAUUAUAGGUUGACUCCGUCCUUUACCUAAUUUAUUAAGGCUGCCUUCAUGCUAGAGAGCCCGGCCAGAUUUUGCUUAAGGCCGCAGAGGUCAAUAUAAGCGCUAAUGAUAGCGUUGUCGAUCAAAUUCAAUCAGCAUUAAACUACUAGCGCUCGAAUUGCGUACAUGACACCGAACUUGUAAAUUCCAAGUACUAUAACUAUGGUUUUAGUACGAUGGCUUAUUUGCUUAGCGUUUCCCAGACCGCGGUUGCCCUGACCUCGUUAUUUACCUUGAAAAUGUAUCUAAGUAUCAGCCGACUUAACUAUAUCCGCCAUUUAUUAUGAUAGUAGAUAUGGAGCCAUUAUAUAUAAAUAUAUCUUUUAGUAAACUGUUUUGAUUAUCUAUUUUAUUACAAUCUAUUGAAACUUGUUAGCUAUAAACUAUGCCUGAUAUAAAAUGUUGAUAGAGAGAGCACAGGCCAUAACGCAUGCUAGUAACGCCAAUACAGAGCGCACAAUAUCUCAGAGUUUCGAUGCAAGCGAGAAAAAUAUCUUAUACACAAACUCUUAUCUACCAUCGUACAACCCACACCGCACCCGUUCCUGGCGCCGUACCGCCGCGUAAUUUUAUUCCAAAUCCAAGCCUCUCGGAUAUGGUCCGCAAACCGAGGCAGCAGAAAAAGUUCUGGCGUCCUCUCACCCCCGCCCCCAAAGCCCCCCCGAAAUUACACCUUUGAGUGGGUUUCUUUUCUGGCUUUACCCCGCCUCGACCGAGCUUCGCCCCGAUCCUCUACGGAAGGGCACAUACCGAUCGUACUCCUGCGCUCAACUUGCCGCGAUAGAAUACAGAUUAUCUACCACGAGGCCAUAGCAAAUGUCGAAGCAUGUCAAUACAUUAUAUGAAAUUAAAUAGAAAGAGAAAAAAAAAGAAAGCCAAGGCGACCGGUCAUGCCUGUUUGGCGUGCACCGCAAUAAGCUCGGCUACCUUCGCGCCCCACUUCCCCGAUCGUCGCUGACUCCCCCCGUCUUUUGGCUGCGCCUGUUUUCUUGUUAUAUAGCGCACCCACCGCUUCAUUCUCGGUCUUGUCAAUUCCGCAACUCCGACAUCUCUGUUCAAGAGUCACUGUCCCUGAUGAGCUUCCGCUUCUCCUCCCUCUCUCCUCCUCCUUCUGUACGGAGGUGAGGCACAUACGGCGAGGUGGAGUCGGUUCGGUUUGUUCCGCUAGGACACUGCUCGCCGAUCUUCCACGAUGACGCUCGACAAGUGCUUCGGCGACCCCUCACGUACGGAUAUACGCGCGAGAAACACGUGUUCCUGGGGUUAGCAGUUUUUUGGAGAUUGCUUGUUACGGGCCCUUUUUCGCCCGAUCCUAUGCACCCUAUCGACUAGCCGCGCUAAUUUGAAUCAUUAGCUGGCAGGAGGGGAUGCCCACGAUGACAACCUCAUUCGAAAGUUGCCUCCCGAAGGCUUCGCACUACGAGCUCUACAACCCAACGAACAUCAAAACCGAUCCUCGCCCAAAAGCCUCCUGCCUCUCCUUCAAGGACUCGGCCUGCCCGAAUUCUGCUAUCGCUACAUGUCUCCAAGAAGAAGUACAUCUACACAUCCGACGACUGAUUGCUUCGGUGAGUUGCUCCCCCUUGCUCCCUCAUCUCUCUAUCAUCUGUGUGUGUUGGUUGUGUUUUUUUUUUCUUAAAUUCGCAUACUUUUGCUUUGAUCUGAGAUAAUUUUGGAGUCCGCGGUCGAAGCGUUUAGGGUGAUGGGGGAGUUGGGUAUAGGGGAGAAAGGUGCCGAUCUUGGCCGCACGGGAAUCUAUCGGAUGUUGCGUUACUGUUUAUCUCACGAUAAAUUAAGAUUUCGUCUUGAAAAAGAUAGUCUUUCAGGGGGAUACUUCCCAAUCCAUUUACCGUUCUCUCUUUCUUUUUUUCUUUUUCUUAAAUAUUUCCUUACCUUGGUUUAAGGAAAAAAAAAUGUUUUGGUCUGUGGAGUUGAUGUUGCGGAUUUGGCCUUGUGCUUUCCUCAGCAAAAUUCGCAUCUCUGCAGCUUCUUUACUUUCUCAUCUGCCUUUAGGAAGAUUAUUGGAAAUUUAUGUACGAAUAGCCAUUUCGUUCUUAACAUGCUAACUACAUCUUUGGCCAUAUUAUUUUUGCAACUGGUUUAAAUUAAACUGUAAUUGUAAAUAUAGUACCUUAUCUAAACCUAGUUUGCUGCUUCAAAUCUCUAGAUUGUUAGGAUCUUAGUGGAGUUAAAGACACAAAUUAACCACUUCCUUCCCGUGAGAAAAUAAAAAUUGUCACCUGUCUUUAAUUGAUUUAAUGACUGGAGAACGGGAUUGUCAAAUGUCCGAUAUUUGAAUUUUACUUUAUAAUUUAUUAAAGAGAUGUAGUAAAAUUAACACUUUUGAAUCGGUAACACAUGCUACUGCAACCUUCCACCAAAAAAUAAAUGUACUUUUUUUUUGAGACCCAACUGUAGGGAGAUAUCCAUGUGACAUCAUGCUGUGUGGACUAACAGCAGUAGCAACAUGGUACCCAUGGACUUUAGUAAAGAGUUUCUUAGAGCACAUGCUGAAAUUCAAUGGCAUUGAUCCUUUUGGAUUUGCCUUGUGUUAAAAAAGUCGUAAGUCAAAUGGUUCAUCGAUCUUAUAUCAAUACACUCCAGCUAUUGAUGACAUCCUGUAAACUUUUCUUUUAUAACACAUCUAAAUUUACCUUUUAUAGUUAACGGAAAAUUUGAGCAACGUAGACAAAGAUUACUUCCAAUAUCCAGAGGUCGCAGCACUGCCGCCAUAUAUCAAUCCGCUGUUCUAUAUUUAUGAUUGUGGAAUAGCUAAAUUAUAACACACGUAGACACAGAUGACAUUUAUUAUUUAUUUUAUUUGUGCUUCCGUGAUCUGUCUAUUGAUAAUGCAAUGAAGACAAGUGGCUCCUGAUGAAUACAGACGGCUUAGCUUAUUUUCAAUUUAAUUGUUAUUUAAUAUAAUGCCAUUUGUAAUAUUCAAAUAGGUGCAAAGAACCCAUCAGGCAAAGAAUAUAAGCGACUUGACAGCACAUAAAUGAACCUUGCUGUUGCCUUCCGCACGGCCUUGUCUUCUCAACCACGUCAUGCUACGGUGAGAUCCUAUUGCGAAGCGCUGUGCGCGUACCAUUUGUUCGUGGGUAUUCUUUUAGCCUUCGAGAAGGUGUACCGACUGCUGUUUUCUCAGCGCCUUUGGAUCAACAUUCCCGACUAUGUGCUCCGACCCAGCUUUGUCAAGCCUCGUGAGAGAAACACAAGGUGCCUAAUCAUUUUAACGCGGAGGUCUCAUGGUUUGCGUCUUCUUUAAUUUAUCAAAUCUUGUAAUUUUCCUGUUUUUGACCCAUAAGGUAUGUGGACGCUGCUGUGACUUGCGAGCGGAGCAGUGGGCCUAAGGAACCUUAUUCCCCCAUGUGCGGUAAACCUUGCUUUCGACGCGUGGAUGCGAGAUGAAUCGGAACCUUCGAGCACAACCUGUAACUUUGGGCUUAUGUUGCAGGUUAGACGGACGUACCCUCUUGGACGUUACGCGGAAUCGAGCAUUGUUGGAGAAGCGUAUGGCUGCUGUGAUCAGUCCGGUUAUUUUGUUCUGGCUUUGAGAUCUUACUACAAUGGCUUUCAUCAUGUCCUCUCCAGUGCUUGAGAAUUUAUGUGAUCGCUGCCCGUGUUAAUCAAGUUACUACAAUAUCACAAUCCAAAUCCACAAUUCUAUAGGUAAGUUGCCAGGCUGGCUUAUAUAUGCAAUUGUGCAUCUAUCGUGUGGCAUGCUACUUGUGGGCCCUAUAAUGUCAUAGUUGAGUGUGCUUGACCUUACAGUAUGCAGAGAACUUGAUUUGUAAAAACAUUAGUAGGAGAAUCAAUCCCCUGGUAGUUUUCGCGAAAUCGAACCGAAUUAAAUUCCAAAUUAUCGGCUGCGUUUUAACUUUUCAUGUCAGGCGAAUAUCAUUCGCGUCUUGAUCUCAGCAAAAAACGGCGGUUUCGUCGGAUUUUCUUAUUGUUUCGUGCACUACUUGUGAGAGCCAAAUGACUGAAUGGUCAUAACUCUCGUAGCCAUACAAAAGAAGAGGUUAGGUGCCUCUGUGAUUAAGUCACUAGACCUUGUUGGCUGUCACCAUCGUCACAAAUUGUGGGCUUCUGCGGUGAUGAUUGGUGAGCGACGGUGGGUUCCGGUGUCGAAUAUAAACGCAAUCGGGAAACCCGGAUUCGUACAAUUAUCCGGCGAUAAUGUGGUGGGUGUUAUCUUGUGUUUGCUGCCAAAACACCAAUUGGAGUGUUUUGGGGGGCAAGUGACUCUGUGACACGAGCGAGGUCGGAUUUCGGGACACUUAGUGGGUCCCGACGCGUCCCGGUGUAGUUUUCGGACUUCCGGCGAGUUACGGUAAUCGAUAUUGGGAACGAUCUUCGUGGAAUCGUUUGUGGGGUUGUGGAUACUGUGAUUAUUAGUUUGUGGGUUAGAUACUAACCCGGUGGACCCUCUAUAGGUCCUGUCGACAUUCUUUUGCAGUCAGGAGACAGACGCGACAUCUGUACAGGUGGUACUUCGAUCCGACGUCGGUACAGUGGUGCACGUUGGUGACGGUUUCUUACCCUUACUCUUCUAUUGUUACUAUCGCAUAGUAUAUUGAGCUUGCAUCCCCGUUGUUUCUAUUAUACUUACUCAUAUGUUUCUAUGCUUAGUAUCAUGUGUAGGAGUAGAGUAGUUUAUCCAUAUGUGAUAGCCGGUGACCUGAUUGGUCGGUUCUCGUACUUUGUUUCGGUGACCUGAUUGGUCGUUUCUCGUACUUUGUUUCGGUGACCUGAUUGGUCGGUUCUCGUACUUCGUUUCGGUGACCUAGUUGAUCGGUGCUUUUAUCUUAUAUUGUUGACUGGUUGGUCGGUUGUUGCAUUAUGUAUUGGGCUGGUCCGUUUCUUGACUUCUGUCGUUCGAUGACCCUUGAGGUCGGUAUACCCUGAGGGGUGGGAUGUGUCGCUAGCACCGACCGAUGAUUAUAGUUUAUUCAGUUCCACUAUUUGUUAUGUUUGUGACUAGUCUGUCAGCUUCGUGAGUCCUGUCGUCGAUGACCUAUGAGGUCGGUGUACCCUGAGGGUUGGAUUGUCGGCUAGUGACCGACGGUAAUUCGGGAUUCUAUUGGUAUACUCUGGUGACCUAUUCGUCGGUUCGUCGUGCAUAUAUGUUAGUUGACGUUAGUGAGUCAGUGCUUGUAUACCUUCGGUAGGAUGUUGAGUGGUUCCCUCUUAGUUGACCUGACUGGUUGUUCUUGUGCUUUCUUACAGUUGGAUGACCUAUUGGUCGGUUUCCCGAGGGGCGGUGAUUGUCGGCUGGUUGCCGACGUUUGGCUAUUGAUCAUUCUCUAUUGAUCGCCACAGCUCGAGUGCAUUUCACGUACACCACGGGUUGAUCCCCCGCAGGAGGGUGUUCUUUUCCGAAAAGUGGUCGUACAUCCGACCCGUGAGCCCAGCGGUGUUGUCUUUGUGCUAGGGUUACAUGCCAGGUUGAGCAGAUAGUGGCUUUUGCCUGAGGUCCUUAGACCGACACGGCGGUUUAGAUUGGUACUUUUGGACUUUCGUCCGGUUGACACAUAUAGCUAGUAGUGAUUGUUGUAUAUAUACUUUCUAGUUCUUUCUUUACAGUUGUCUUACUACUAUAGUUUCGAUAUUCUUGUAUGCUUGCAGUUGUACAUUACAGUAGCGGUAGUUGUACUUUUUUCAUAUAUAUGUCUCUUCAUUCUUUGUUAUUGCUACUGUAUUUUCUACUGACCCGUACUGUUGUUUAGCUCUUCCUGAUCCGGUGAGUACCCUCGUUUCAUCGGCUUGGCGUACCACUGGGAGGGGAGACAUGUUUACAUGUUUCACCUCCCCCACCAUUUUUUUUAGGUACUGCAGGCGAUGAGUUUUGGGACGAGACGUGAGGUACGUUCGUAGCAGUCGAUAGAGCUUCCGACCCAGGUUAUCGAUUUAGUUUUUAUCCUUACUAUUCUGUUGUUGUAGCUUAGUUAGUUUAUAUGGUUCAGUUAGAUGAUCAUACUUGUGUUUGAAUGUUGUGAGCUGGUUGAAUUUGUGGAAUUGUGGAUUUGGUUUAUGGAUCUUCAGUUUUGGGAUGUUUGUAUACUUUGUGGUUCUCGGAUUUGUAUUUUUGGAUUUACGCAUCGUGGUUUUCUACCCUCGAGGUAGUCGGUUUUCAAAAUAGAGUUUCUAUGUGGGAAACAGUUUCAAAAGGUUUUCAAAUGAUUUUUCAUGAUGAAUGAAUUAGAGUUCAAAAUAAAAGCUUCUGUGUGGGGAGACUUUUAAAUAGGAUGGUUUGUUGUAUUGUGCAUUGCAUCAUCCAGCGCUUAAGGAUGCUUAGAGGCAUGCAUCAUUCUAAGGAUUGUUAGCUGUAUGAAAAUGCAUAUCAUGAAUUGGUUGCUGAUUGGUAAAUGUAGAUUGUGGUUGUGAUCCUGUUGUAUCCGUUGGUACGCCGUGCAGAUACAAAGGAGACUCUGCCCGAAUGGACAGAGGAACUUUGUAUUUGUGGCGGGUCUGUACGUCACGUGGGCCAGGUUUUUUUUUUUCAAAAAAAAAAAAAAAUUUUUGGUACAUCUUCCGCGACUCUGAGUUUUAAAAAUGGUAAUGACUUUUAAAUCGGCCCCGGGGCGUGACAUGAGUAAAGGCUUGGACCUAGAUAGGUCAACUCCUUAUGGUUAAGACCAACCCUCGAGUUGUGUGAAAUGGAUUCCAGAAUCCCAAAGCUAAAAGAAUGCGCCGAGAGUGGCAAAAGGAUACACCCAAAGCGGUGUGGGGUGUGUGCGACGAUUUCGCCGCCCAGGGCUAACCAUUGUCGUGGCGUGUGCGACGAUUUCGCUGCCGGAUGGUUGAGCCAGUUGAGGAUUGUACCGCCGGGUGACUUGAAUCACUGUCGUGGUGUUUGUGCGACGAUUUCGCCGCCGGGUGGCUAAGUCAUGACCUAGGCCGUUGUUGGGUGAGGUGCGAUUCGUUCGCCGCCAGACGGCUAGAUCAGAAUGGCGGGGGGCUGACUGAGCAGCCAGAGCGCGGAUUAUCCGCAUUUGAUUGACUCAAGACCGAGUCGGGUGGCAUAGAUGACUAAGGUAGAGAUAACCUUAGAUAUGAGUUGUCAAGGACUAUGGCAAAGAAUAAGAAUGCUAGCAAUAAUUAAGAAUGUUAAUGAGUAAAGAAUCGCCAACGGGCGUAGUGUAAAGAAUGAUAAGGAAUAAAGAGUAAAGAAUCGCCAAUGAGCGUAAUGUAAGAAAGGAUAAUGAAAUAACAAAGUGUAAAGAAUGACUUCGAGUAGAAUUAAAAUAAUCUACUUGCAUAAGUAUAGGUGUUGCAUAUUGCAUCUUGGGAGGCAGAACAUCUUAGUUCAAUAUCUGUUAUAUAUCUGUUAUAUGUUAUUGGACUAACUUGUUACAGGGCCUCAUUAGACAUAUCGACUGAGCUUUUCCCUUGGGUGGCCGUACCCACUGGGAACCAUGGAGUUGGUUCUCACCCCACGUUGUUUUGGGGUGUUUACAGGUACACACGUGAGCGGCGCGACGGCGCGAGGCAAGGGCGUAGCUCCAUAGAUAGCGCCCUACCCCAGAGACCGAGAUAGCAGUACCCGAGUUGGUGGUCUAGCUUAGGAGGUUUAAAGACAAGAACAAAUUUAUAUCAUAAACUUGUAAUAGAUUGUAAUAAACAGGUUGUAAUUUGGAAGUUAAAUGUAAACAGAUACUGUGAUGUAAAAUAUGAAUGCAAAAUGAAUGCUUGUAAUAGCAAGUAGUUAUGUAUUUGAUACUUCCUUAUGCAAUCUGGAUUGAUAUCCGUUUCUAGUUGGAACAUUCGUUGAUUGUUUGGAUUACGACGCCUUGAAUGUACAGGGGAGACUCUGUCCGCGAUAUAGGGGAAUCCCCGGUCCAUUCGGCGGUCUGUCGUCGGUGCCGCGACCCGGUCCAAAUUGGCAGUUGGUCACGGGGCGUGACAGCAGCGGAGGCAGAGGGCGGUGGCGGCGGCGGUUGCAAGAGCGCGAGGGGGAAAGCAAAGGCCGAGGCGCUUCUCUGAGCGCUCGAUGGACGCUGCUCAUCCGGCUUCCGCCGCCCAUCGAUCUCUUCGAUGAGUUGGAUUUCUUUUCGUUGCCGCCGACUUUCCAGUCGUUGAUGUCGAUGUCGUAGUCGAAGGCUUCCAAGGCUUCAAACAAUGUUUAAUAUGUUGAAAAAUCUUUCUGAUCUUUUAUUAAAAUAUUAUUUAAUAACAAUUUGAAAGUUUAAUUUUAGUUUUAGAAAAAUUUCGAGAAAAAAAAUAAAUAAUAAACACUGUAGAGAAAAGGAUUAGAAAAAAUCUAUGGAUCGAGGCGUGCAGAGUACUGUCCUAUAAGCGAAAUUGCCCCUCCAUAUACGAGGCUUCCCGACAAUUACUUCAAGCGAUACAACGACUACGUUCUACCCCGUCGGCACGCUUUCAAGGUGGCGCAAAACGAACCUAACAAGCUUCAGAUCCAGCAAAGAAAGCUCGGCGAAAAUCAACGCAAAAGAUCAAUGACAAGAAAACAGAAAAAUGCGAGGUAGAGGAUAGAGUUUUGCUCUUAGGUAUGGUUAGGUUCUGGUUGAACUCACGCAACCUCCUCCAAUAUAUAUAACCAAGACAAGAAAUCUUGCUUCAACGUAUCUAUCCAUCCAAGGCAAGAAUCUUGCUUUAACGUGUCUAACCCGUGUAGAACAAGAUAAGCCUAAGAUUAUAUGGGAUACGGAUUAGGAUUAGAAUUAUGACAAAGAUAAAACUGAAAAAUAAAAAUAAAAUAAAUCGGGUGUAUGAACCGCGCGCGCCGCCACCUGCCCAGCUCAGCUCGUGCUCGUGCCGUGCGUGUGUUUAAACGAGAGCAUUACUCUCAUUUUCUCCCAAGCAACUAGCUUGAGAAUAAAGAAAUAUAUAAAUACCAACAACACCAUUUUAGUUUUCAAUGUGGGACUAAACUUUACAUAUGAAAACUUUAGUUGAGCUCCCAGGAAAGGCCCAUCAAGUGUUGGGCUGCUCAAGAGGCCUAACAAAUUUUAAAUCACCAAAAAUCCAAUAAAAUCCAACAUAGUAUAACACUACUGUUAAAUGUUAAUUUGAUUUAUUAGAACAAAGAGUACAAUUUUUUGUUUUCAAAAAUUAUAAUUUUCGUCUCAAAGAGUGUAAUUUUCGUUUCAAAGAAUGCAACGUUCUUCUCAAAUAGUGUAAUUUUUUUUGAAACCGUGCAACUUUAUAUUAACAGUGCAACUUCGUCAUCAUCUUCUUUCUUCUUUAGUUUUUGGUCUUUUUCUAUAGCAGCAAUGAUACAUAAUGAUCUUUCAAGAAGAAAAAAAUAAAUUUUUUAUUUUUUUAUUUUUAUUUUUUAUUCUUCUUUUUUUUUAAUUUGUUGUAUAUUUUUUUUGCUCCUUGGGGAAGUGUGGACGCGUCUUUGUCUUCAACCUUAUGGGUGAUAGCUAGCACCGCCUCGGUCAUGGCCUCAUCGCCUCCGUUCGCUCUGUCCUCACUCUCUCCCGCUUUGGGUCCUCUUUCUCUAGCGUCGGCGGCGGAGGUGGAGGCAGGGGAAGAGGAGGCAACGCCAUCUUUGUUGCCGUUGCCAAGGGCCGUAGAGGCGGUGAAGGAGGCGAUGAGGGUUGGAGAGGAAAAAAAAGAACGAGAGAAAAAAAAAAAAACAAGAGUGAAAAGUUUAAAAAGGUGAGGAGGAAGACAAACAAGACGGAAAAAGACGAACAUGAAAAAAAAAAAAGAGAGAAAGAAAAAUAAUGGUAUUUUAGUCAGUUUAUUAAAAAUCUGAAUCGAAUCUGUAAAAUUCAAAAAGGCGGCAUAUUUUUGCAAAAACUUAAAACCAAUGAAUUUCUUAUGCAAAUUGGCCAAUAGUUUAUAUAGGGAAAAAGAACUAUCUAUACAUAAAGUUAAUCAAAAUAAGAUCUCUAAUAUACAAAUUUAUAAGUGCGGAUGACUCGGAUGUAUAAAUAUAUCUUUUAAAUUGGAUGUAUUAUUAAUGAUUAAUACUUUAAAAUAAAAUACGAUAUGAUCUAAUUUGAUAUACCAUAUUUAAGUAUUUUAUUAUAAUACAAACUUUUAUUUUUUAUGUAUAUUUUAGAAUUGGUUUACAGUGCACCGGGUGCGUCUAAUUAUACGACAAGUGGCAUCAUUGUAUUCGCUGACCCACUAAGAUACGCGUGGCUUGGCUUGUCGUAAUAAGGAAAAGUCUAGAAUGCAUCAGUUAUAUUGCUGACGCGCGUGGUGUAAGUCUUAUCAUUCUUAGAUAUAUCCGUCCCAUCAUAAUUAAUAGAAAAAUAUUUUUAUUGUACCUUUUUUAAGAAAAGAGAUGAUUGAUUUUUUAUUGAUGAUGUGAUGCAAGUACGAUAUUUUAGACUUUCUCAGCCGUGUUAGAGAGAGGAAAGAAGGGAGAAGAAGGAAAAAGAAACUUUAUGAGAUGGCGAAACGUGGUUGAAGUGUGAUGUGACUGAAUUAAGAAUUAAUGUAUUGUUAAUGUUAAUUGUUAAUUGUUAAUUGUUAAUGUUAAUAUUAAUUAUAAUUAUUAUUAUACUUAUAUUAUAAUAAUUAUUAUUAAGUUAAAAAUUACAAAUUAUAGAUUAGUCUUUAAUACUAAAAUGUAAUCCGAUAAACCUGGAAGAAUUUAUCUAUACCGAUUUUUUAUGACACAAAUUAGGUGCAUUGUACAUUACAAUCAACAUUUUAUUAUAAAAUUUUAAAUUUUAUUAAUUUAUUGAUGUAUUUUAUCUCAUUUGGAUCUUAUAGUGCUACUCUGCGUCUUUAAAACUCCAUAAUAGAACCUCAAAAUUAGAAUUUAGUUUUUUCGGAAUAUUUUUAUGGCUUAUGGCAUUAUAUUAGAGGCAUUUAUAAGCACAAACCCAUAGCUACCGUUUGGUUCGGGAUUAAGUAAAAACUAUUUAUUUCAGGGAUAAGGUUAAGUUCAGGGUUAAGGGGGUUAGAGUAAUUUUGUGUUUGGUUGAGAAUUUGUUUAGUCCAAGUAUAAGAAAAAUAGUGUUGGUGGGAGUAGGUGGAAUAAAAAGAAUAGUGGGUUGUUAUAAAUAGAAAAAAAUAAUUUUCUCUAAUUUUUAUAUUUGAAUUUAAAUUUUUUAUUUUAUAUUUCAAAUUUCAAAUUUAAAUAGAUAACUUUUAAAAUUACAGAAUUCAAAAUUAAACUUUAUUUUUAAAUCUCGAAUUAAAAAAUUUAAAGUUAUAAAAUUUAAAUCAAAUCUAACAAAUAUAAAAUUUAAAUAAUAAUUAAAAAUAAUAAUUUAAAAUUUAAAAUUUAAAAUUUAAAAUUUAAAAUUUAAAAUUUAAAAAUUAAAAAUUAAAAAUAUAAAUAUAUAUUUUAAGAUUGUAAAAUUAUAAUUUUAAAAUUUUAAAUAUAAAUAUUAAAUUAAAAUUAUUAUAAUUAAAAAUAAUUAUUAAAUUUUAAAAUUUAAAAUUUAAAAUUUAAAAUUUAAAAUUUAAAAUUUAAAAUUUAAAAUUUUAAUAUUAAAUUUUAAAUUCUAUAUUUAUAAUUAAAAAUUAAAUUUUAAAAAUUUAAAAAUUUUAAUAUUAUCUUAAAAUUUUAAAUUUUAUAAUUUAUAAUUUAAAAAUUAAAUUUAAAAAUUUAAAAAUUUUAAUAUUAAUUUUAAUAUUACAAAUUAAGCAUUUUAAAAAUUUCAAAUAUAAAAUGUCAAAUUUCAAAUUUAAACAAUUAAAUUUUAAAUUUUAAAUUUUAAAAAUAUUAAUAUUAAUUUUAAGAUUAAAAAUUAUAAAUUUUUAAAAUUUAUAAUUUAAAAUUAUAAUUUUAAAAUUAUAUUAAAAAUUAAAUAGGGGUGGGAUUAACUUUAAUCCCACCCCUAUUCUGGGGGUGGUGUCACGCCCCGAAUUACACGUUCUCCAGGCACGCCAACAAAUCCGCCGUACACAAAGAAAUUUUCUCUGUAUACGAAGCGAUAGCUGUAUCUGUAAAACAUACAAUACUACAAACAGUAGUAUAGAGCUGCUAGAGGAACCAGUAACUAAAAACAAACUGAGUUUCAUAUACAUAUAUCAAAUCCAAAAUACAAAACUACUCGCACUGGCGAGUUAAAUAACUGUAUGUACAUGAACUCCAACAAAACAACUAUCUGCAGUAGGGGCACCUCUAGCUCGGUUCGUCGGGUAGGGCUCUAACUCGCGACGCCCUAGCAUCGGUCCAGAUCAACAACAGCAGUAGUCGAAGGCGACGACUCUGUAAAAACAGAGGUAACAACUGGGCGUGAGAAUUACUGUAAAAACAAGUAGUCCUCAGUGGGUACCGCCUUCAACUCAUUGGUCCACCCACUAAGUCUACAGAGAUAAGCAGGAAUUGUAAAGAAAGCUGGAACAAAAAUUUAUAACUAAAUACCGCUAUACUAUCAUACUCUAACUCUAACCCUCUAUAGAACAAUGUCAUCUCAGACCCAAUCUAUAUAAGGACUGUAAACAUACCCGUCCCAGGGACUGUGAACACACCCGUCUCGCCCGGUUGCGACUAUCCAGUUACCUCCACACUAAACAGUCCGUGGAGAGCAAGUCCAACCUGCACGAACGACACCAACGCAAACGCACAAAGCCCGCCUCCGGAGUGGCACUCGUGGGCGCUACCCAACCGAGCAUGCAAGCGUAUCUCUGUCGAGCUAAAUCAGGCUCUAACAAGCCAAAGACAAGUAACUAGGGUCAAAACAGGUCUAGAAAUCAAACCCACGUGCCCUCGGCACAAUCUGCAACUAAAAUAGAAAUCUGGGUCCACCGCUAACCCUGACGGCACCCGACGACCCGAAACAGCCUAAACUCUGCUGAAAAAUAAGCUCGACACCCCAGCACGAGCGUAAAUGCCUUCUAAACUACCCCAGAUAUCCAUCGCACUGAUACUGUGCCGAUACAGUGAAACACGGCUCCUAGAGCUAAAUUCGGUAGUUUAAGCACAUGACGGGUAAAAAUGCUGGUUUCUCCUAAGUCAAACUCCAAGUCCAACAUGUAUCUUUACGAUUCACUAAUCAUAUUCUCAAUGUUGAUUUCAUACAUGAUACAAUCCAAGAAAUUGAGCUACAACAUGAUUUACAAAAACUUGAAAUCAUACAUGUCGACUAAUACUGUACUUAGGCAUAAACCGAUGAAAACCCACCUCUAAAGCACUUCCUGACAGCAAGGAGGUCUCGAACCACAAGGACUUCCUCUGCUGGAUAAACCGAAGCUCCUCCAAGUCAGCAACAAGAGUUCUUCAAACUCUAGACCUUAACAAGAUCCAAAAUCCAUCAAUACCACUAUAAUUUCAGCACUUAAGCUAAAUUAUCCACUUGUAAUGCUAACAUUACCUUCCGACUCCAAAUCAGUUGAGGUGGAGUUCCAAAAGCAGUGAGUAGUGAUGGAGUAUGAGUCUCAGGUCCAAAAUCCCACUGUUUCCAAAGAUCGUAUCAAGAAAGUUCAAGAAAUCCAAAAAUCAGGUCCAAAACCAUAGCAGUCCAGAAACCUGCAAAAUUGACUGAGUUAACCUUAACCAAAAUCUGCAAUUCAGGACUUCCUGGAUUCCUCUGGAAGUCUAGAAUCCAACAAACUAAGUUUCGUCACAAUCCGACUUCCCUACGUCGCGCACGAGCAAAAACACUGAAGGUCGUCGCUGGAAAAACUGCAGAAUCAGCACCUUGCAAAUCUUGGAGUUGUGGAUCUUGAUGCAAAUUAAGAAGAUUUGAGGGAUUGAAGAGCAAAUUCAGGGUUCUCUGUGAAGGACAGGUGAAAAGAGCUCAAAGGGGACGUACACCAGGUAUUUAUAGGGUGCUGGAGUGGUCAGAUAACCCUCAGGAACAAUUGCUGAAAUCUGCUGUCCCUGCAGAAAAUCCGAGAUCUGGGCGCUCUAAACUAAGUUCUGGGCGUCCAGAACUUUCAGCCUGCACAAAUGCUCCCCUUCGAUUCCUCCUCCCGCGGUGUGCUGCGCCCGUAAACGGCUCCGGCGGACCUCACCUACCACCAGCCACGUGUCAACACAAACGAUAUUCACUAUGUAAAAUUUCCGGACCCACUUCUGGGCGCCCGGAACAUAGGAUCCGAAUUAGCUUCCAGUUUCAGUUAAUUUCAGCACUCAGUUCUGAGCGACCUAAACCGUGUUCUGGGCGCCCGAAUCUGGCAAAACUCCAGUUUUGCUUAUUUGAGUGCGCCGAGUCUAUUUCUGCAUCCAAUUCGUACAGAAUUGACUCCGACUCAGUCCGACACUCUCCAGAUGUGUCGACCAGUCACUAAUACUGUAGCCAAUCCUAUCCAACCCUCUGGAAUGCUACAGGUGGGGUAGCUAACACUACUCCAAAUAGGCUAACUGGAUGGGGGGAGGGUGGGGUAGCUAACACCACCCCAAAUAGGCUAACCGGUUAGCCUAUUUGGGGUGGUGUUAGCUAACCCCACCCCCCUAAAAUCAUGUUUGGAAAUAAAACCGGGGUUAAGGGGUUAUCCCACCCCUUAACCCCGAACCGAACCAAUCAAAUGUAGGCAUUCGAAAUCUAAAUUAUAAUUUAUGCCCUUCUAAAUAUAUGAAUUUAUCAAAAACUCAAUCGUAAGCUUACUCAAGGAGGGUUGAGUACAAGUAUAGUUAAUGGAAUAUUGAUUUUAUCUUUGACUGUACCCUGAUAAGGCAAUAUAUUAACACAUAUUAAUUUUAUUUUUUUAUUUAGGAUAUUUAACUUAUCACGUAUUUUUUUAUGGAUUAAUUGCAUACAGGUUCUACAAAUAUAGUAAAUUACCUAUAUAUAUCUUUAUAAAAUUCAACUUUCAUAUAUUAUUCCAGCGAAAGUUCUAAUAUUUUCAAAUAUGUUCCUGUCGUUAGAAUCCGUGUUAGUUUAUGAGAUAACUUGACAUUUUUAUCCUUUUAUAUAAUAUUAUUAUUAUUUUUAGAGGAAUAUAUUUAUGAUGGUAAAAUUGAUAUUUCACUUAUUUGCUGUUAAACUAUAAAUAGUUCUAACAGUAACAAACUAAAGGAUAUAUUUGAAAAUAUUAGAGCUUUCGUAGGGACAAUAUAUAAAAAUUAAACUUUGUAGAAAUAUAUUUAUAAUUUACUAUGUUUACGGGGAGGCAUUUAACUCUUUUUCUUAUUUUCCUAUUGUGAGAUUAUCACUUUCAAUUUAUUAUUUUUUCUUUAAAAAUAAUUGUUAAAAUUAUGAAUUUCUACCCUAGUUAGUUAAUUCGCGAUUAAUACGCGAAUUAUACGCGUAUUUUUUAAAAUACGAAUUAAACGGCGAAUUUCGUAUUUUUCACAAAAGUUUGAAAAAAAACGCGAUUUUUUCGUCAAAAAUUAUUAUUCGCGAAUUAAUCGCGAUUCGCGAACAAUUCGCCCAAAAAAUCGGCGAUCGCGGUCGCGGACUUGCGGCCGAGGAGCGGUCGCAUCGUCGCCGCUCUUGUCGCAGCUCGCGUCCGCGCCGGUCUCGUCGCCGCUCGCGUCGUCGCCGCCCUCUCGUCGCCGCUCGCGUCGUCGUCGUCCUCCGCGCCCUCGCCGGCGCCGGGAGCAAGGGCGCGCGGCGGCGGAUCCCAUCUCCUCGCCCGAGUCGUCUCCAAAAUGGGAAAGAUGAACGUAAAAAUUAUCGGGGCUUUGGAGGUUGGGAUUGGUGCGCGUCCACGAGGCUAUUUCAGCCUCGUGGACCGCGUGAGGGAGGUCCACAUCCACAGUGGACCUCCCUUCAUCAUACUAUAUAUAUAUUAUAUAUUAUACUAUAUAUAGUAUAUAUAUAUAUAAUAUAGCUAUAGAGUACGGUAUAUAUAUAUAUAAUUUUUAUUUAUAAAUAUAAAUUCAUUUAUUAUAUAUAUUAUUUUAUUUUUAUAUAGAAAUAUUUAUAUAAUAUUUUAUUUAUAAAUUGUAAUUAUAUAAUAUAUUAAUUAUUAUAUAUUUAUUAUAUAGCCGAAUUUUUUAUUCCGAAAUUUUAAUUGGUGAACGUAUAAUAUCCGUAUAAAUCACGUAUCCGAAUCAUUACCGAACCCGUUUUUUAACCGUAUUUUUCAACGAAUUUAAAAAUUAAAAGACGAAUUAUAUCCGAAUUAUAUCCGUACCGAAUUUUUGCCGAAUCCGAAUUAACUAACUAUGAUUUCUACCGAAUGGUAAGUUUGCAAAGUUUUUAGUUCAAUGGGGUUAAAAUUAUGAAUUGCCACCUGUCGGAUGGCUGUGCUGGGCCGGGUAUCCAUGAAAUCCGGCCCAGCACGGCCGUACCCAAAUUUUAAUGGGGCCGAUGUUGGCCGACUGUUGGCCCAGUUUGGCCCGGUUAAAUGCGGGCUGUGCUGACUCGACACAGCCCACAUUAUACCCGGGUGAUAUUUUGAAUUUCGAAGGGGUAUUAAUUAAAUUAGACCGUUUCAAAGGGAUACUUACAAAAUCUGUAAACUCUUAUUAGUUUUCAUAAUUUUGUCCACGUGGCAGGCUUAUAUCUUAAUUAUUGCUGUGGAGUUCAUCUCCUUUGUUACUCAUCAGUCAUCUCCUUCCCUUAAACCUGCCAUCUUUUAACGAUCAUGUCAUUUUCCAUUCUGUUUCUUUGGUAGAAGAGAACUUUUAGGGCUUGUUUGGUUCAAGAGUGGAAUUGAAAUGGAUAAUAGAAUGAGAAUGAAUUGGAAUGUCAAUUGGAUUGCCCCGCUCUCCCAAGACAUUUGGUUCAUUUUUGGAUUGGAAAUCGGAAUGAAUUAUUCCUAUUUCACUAUUUGGUUGAUACAAAGUAAAAAAAAUAAUAGAAUAACAUAAUAUUAAUUUUACUUUUAAAUAUAAUUUUAUAAAACUAUCUAAAAUUUUUUAAAAAAAUUAAUACUACUCUCGAGUUAGAGCUAUGCCAAAAAAAAAUGAAUUUAUUUUAAAAAUUUUUAUGUAAGAAAUUACAAAAAAAAAAUGCAUAAAUUUUUUUGAAUAAAAUUAUAAUAAAAAAUAAUAUAUCACGUUUUUUUUAUGAUGAGAAAAGAGAGAAGAGAUCGGUACAAGUAGAGGAAGGAUGGAUAAGAUGGAGAAACGUUGGGCUGGGCCUAAGGAAGAGGUGAGUGUGGGUUUGGAAUUAAAACUUCAAUCCGGGCUUGAAGACUGGAAUCAAUUUGUAAGCUAAUGGACCAUUCUCAUUCCGAUCCAUUCGGAAUGGGAAUCCCAAACCGAUUCCUGUGAAUCAAACAAAAUUAGCAGGUUUUGAUCAAACCGAUUUCCAUUCCGCAUCCAAAAUGUACAAACCAAACAUGCCUCAGAGGCUUUGUGGUGUCCCAUUCCGUCUAUUCGGUUUUCAUGCUUUUCUUUUAAACUCAUCAAAAUCUAACUUGAAAUCCCACUUCUUUUUUACCUAAACCCUUUACAAGUUCUAUCCCCCUUCCCUCGCCCUACUUCCCUCGGCACAAUUGAGAGCGCGACCGAGAUCGAGAUGAGGAACACGACAUGGAGCUAGCGAGACCGACCUAAACCCUUUACAAGUUCUCUCCCCCUUCCCUCGCCCCACUUCCCUCGGCACGGUGGUAGCGUGACCGAGAUCAAGACCGGGAACACGAUUGGGAGCGUGACCGUUUCCCCUUUUCAACCUCUUUCCUCCCCAAUCUCUCGCGAGAUCAUGAAGAAUCGAUUGAAGAAGGAAAAGAAGCAAUCAAGAUCAAACAUAUUGAGAGGUAUGAAGAUUGAUCCCGACUUGAGCUUGAUUUCAUUGAUCGAUCAGUGUUGAUCUCCAAUUUUGGAAGGGCGAUUACGUACGGAUCCCAUAAACCCUAAUUCGAGAUAUGCUACUCUACAAAAAUUUAUCCGCUGCAACACGCGGGUUCCUGCACUAAUUAUCUCAUUAUUUUAGAACUCGAUUUCUUACAAAUUGAAUAAUUAACUUUUCUCUGUGAUUGAUUACUCUGACUAGCUAGUGUCCUAAUAAGAGAUUUUUAAAUUUUUUAAUUUUUAUAUACUAGCUAAGUGUAUAUGUAAUGCACAUCGCAUACAUCUAAAAAACAUGCAGAGUUGGUUACUCUGGUAAAGCCAUAUGACAAUGAUUGAACUGUUGUAUUAUAGAGGGGACAAGCUAAUAUUCUACUACAUCGCUUCAAGGGUUUUGCAAAUCAUAGAGGGUUUGAAUCUCUUUAAAGAGAGCGAUAUUUUUGUGUCUCGGCUUAAUCAAUUCGUCACCACUUUUUUUUUUUUUUUUUUUUUUUUUUUUUUUUUUUUUUUUAUAGUCUAACCUCUAUUUUUGUUAUUUGCACCAAUAAUUUUAAAGAGAUUAAAAAAGGAAGGCUAUACAUGAAAAGUUCGACGAUAAUACAGGAGAUCUCAGCAAGUCCUUAUGCUUCAAAGGAACCCACGUCAAGAAAUAGAAAGAAAAAAAAUAUUAUUCUACCUCAACCUACUCAAAAUUGCAUGCGUCAUUAUAGAAAAAAAAUUCAAAGAAGACUAAUAUUAACAACACGACGGAAGAUGAACUUCUCGAAUACUAUUGAAAGACUGGAAAUAUGAGAAGGAUGAAUAUAAUUGUUAGUAUUAUCUUCUCAACUAUCUUUCAAAUUGAUUUUAUGAUUAUAUGAAAACACUUAUCUUUCCGCAAAGAUGAUUUGGAAGACAUUGCAGCUAAACUAUGAAACAGAAUAAGUUGGUGUAAAGAAAUAUGUCGCUAGUCGUUUCUUGGUUUUUAGUGAUUCAAAAGUCAAACUUAAUAAUAGAAAUUAUAAACUUAUCUAAAUACAUUCAUCAGACCGAUUAAUAAACCUAGAGUCAUAUUGCUGCUGAUCGACAACUAUAAGCUCCAAAAUUCAUUACAGUAAAUUCUAGGAACAAAUGUAUGUAAAUUGGUCCUAACUACCAGUGAUAUGCAGGUAUGGCAGCGGCAAUCCUCUACGGUGAAACUGCGCGACAAGAUUGCUAUUCUCUUGGCAGAGAAGGAGAAGUCUCUCCCUUAGCUUUUCAUUCUCUCCCAUGAUGCAUCUGUUCGCCAAGUAAAGCUUCAGGUUCAGCUUUUGUAGCCCUUUCCUCUUGCGCUUACUUAUUUUUAUCAACCUGUAGCAGCAGCAGCAGUUUUAUAUUUUGUUCAAACUCUAAUUUGAUGUUUCUGAUCGAUUUAGGUUAAAAAAAGAAGCUCUUGGAGAUAUAUUUAAAAGUGCUUCUCUUAAUAGUUGCACUACUCAGACAGUAUUUCAUCAAAUUGCACCACGGCCAAAAGCAAACGAAACAAGCCCUUAGGCCUACAUGUAGUAGUCGUUCUAGAAGCUAGGCUGAAAAGCGGAAAGAAAAGAGCGAAGAAUGAAACUUUGUUGAGCUCGAACGAAGGGAAUGUUUGAAUUACCUCCUCUUCUUCCUAAGAGUGAUUGAGGCACGAGGUUUGUGCUUCUUGGACUGUCUUUGGGCAAGAACGGUGGACAGAUAUUCACCAAUCAACAUUGAGAAGUGCAAACACAGUUUUUCUCCUCCAGAUGUUUGUAAUUUUUGCAGGUAUAUAUGGAGGUUUAUAUAAAGUGAGAGGCCUCUUGAAUAGCUAAUGCAGGUGAUAGGUGUAGCAGAGUGACUAGUGGUUUUGUGCAAAAGUGCCAAUGAUGUUCAUAAAUGUUGAGUAUGAUUUUUUCUUUCUUUCUUUCUCUCUUUUAUUUUUUUGUCUUGCAGAUAAUGAUGCAUGCAUAGACAGUUGAACAGGGACGCAGAUUCCCCAAUGAUUCAUUGGAGGACUCUUGCUUCCUUACCUUUUUCUUGAUUUUUUAAUAAAUCAGUUAUAAUAUAGAGAGACUGAGUUGUGCUGGAAUAUACUGUUAAGAGUAUGAUACAAUCCAUUUUGUAAUCACUGGAUGCUUAGAGUUGAGUGGGUGGUUGGUAUAAAUAGUAAUAUUUUAAGAAUUAAAAAGUGGACAGUAUGUAUUAUUAAUAGUAUACUGGUUGAACUAUAUAUAUAUAUAUAUAUAUAUAUAUAUAUAGAGAGAGAGAGAGAGAGAGAGAGAGAGAGAGAGAGAGAGAGAGAGAGAAUUGAGCUAGAAUACUUUUAGAAGCACCCCCCCUUAGUGCUUCUAGGUUUCUAGCCCUUGGAUCUACUCAUUGAUUACUAAUGGCUCUUGAAUCAAACACUAUUCCACCUACCACCACCUAUCACCACUUACCACCAUCAUCCCGACCCUACAUUUCUCCAUCUAAGAGUUAAAAACUCAAAAGCACCAACUUCUUGAUACUUUUGAGAGUAUUGACCCUACAUUUCUCCAUCUAAGGGUUAAAAACUCAAAAGCACCAACCUCUUGGUACUUUUGAGAGUAUUCUAGCUCAACUCAUAUAUAUAUAUAUAUAUAUAUAUAUAUAUAUAGAACUAGGCUACUAUGCUAUUAAUAGCACCAAGUCAUUGAUGCUACCAAGUUUUUGGCCAUUGGAUUGAGAGAUGUGCAGUCAGGAUGAUGUGGGCCCUUUAGGGUUGAGUGGAUGGUUGGUUAAGUAGUAUGAUCUAAUGAGUGAAAAUGUUUAAAGGGGUGGAUCUAACGGCGGAAAACUUGGUAGCACGGAGUGUUUGUGCUAUUGAUAGCAUAGUAGCCGGACUCUCUCUCUCUCUAUAUAUAUAUAUAGAAUUGAGCUCCUAUGCUUUUAAAAGUACCAAGUCAUUGGUACUUGUAAGUUUUUAGCCCUUGGAUUAAAGAAUGUGCGGUUAUGAUGAUGUGGGCCCCCUAGGGUUGAGUGGGUGGUUGGUUGAAUAGUAUAAUCUAACGGAUGAAAAUGAUCCGAGGCAUAAAUCUAACGGUAAAAAAUUUACAAGUACCAAGUGCUUGGUGCUUUUACAAGCACCAUAGCCGGACUAUAUAUAUAUAUAUAUAUAUAUAUAUAUAUAUAGAGAGAGAGAGAGAGAGAGAGAGAGAGAGAGAGAGAGAGCCACCAUGGAAUCAUGGCCAAACCUUUUUGAGAAAACUCUAGAAACCUAACCUUGGGGAUAUUUGGUAAAGGUUUGGAUGUUUGGUAAAGAUUUGGCCACUCAAGAUGUGACAUAACUUUUUCUUUGUGAAAAAAACAUGAUCCCCUAAACUUUAUAAAGGGGCUUUAAUUGUUGCAUGUAGCAAUUAGGGUGCGUUUGGUUCGCGCUAUCUUUUAAAGAUUCCUAAUAAUUCAAUGGAAAUAAAAAAAUAUGACGGUGUUUGGCUAAACGCACUAAGUAAUCUAGUUGGUAAUAUUGGAUUCACUUGGGAAUAAGAUUCACCCCAAAGUACUAAUCUCAUUCCCUUGAGGGAGGGUGGGUAUCCUCAUAUUAAUGGAUUGGGGUAAUCAUAAUAUGUCUAAUCUCUUUCUUUCUUCCUACCCGCCGGCUAAUUGAUAUUAUUUUUCUUUACACUCUAACCUUAUAUCUCUCUCNUAUAUAUAUAUAAAUAUAUAUAUAUAUAAAAGGGCUAGCGUGUGCUAUUAGAAGCACGGAAGCCUCCAUGCUUCUAAGCUGUUUUCGAUGAUGAACUUUCGAAUCGACGAUAUGCUUUGUUAGAUUUGAUCUAGUACAUUCGAAAUAUCUAGAAAAUAAAUUUUGUUGUUUGUUGAUAUCAUUUACCUACUAAUCGAAAUGGUUCAAAAUCAAUAGUUUUAAAUGGUUGAUGUGUGUUGUUUACGUGUUUAACGGUGUAGAAGUAUUUAAAUUCGAUGAAUUUUUGAUAGAAAAUUUUUUAUACGAUCUACAACAAGAUCAAUAUCUCUAUUUGAAAAUUUAUUGCUACAUCAUAACUUUUUAUAAGAUUUUUAUUUUUAGCCAUCCAUUUUUAGCCUUUUCGAUCACUAGGUAAAUCAUAUCGAAAAAUUAUAAAAUUUAUUUUCUAAAUACUUCAAAUAUGCUAGAUCAAGUCUAACGGAGCCGAUCGUCGAUUCAGAAGUUCCAUAAUAAAAAAGGGCUUAGAAGCAUGAUAGCAUCCCAGUCGAACUCAUAUAUAUAUAUAGAGUUAGGCUGCUAUCCUAUUAAUAGGAUUGAGACCAUUGUCCUAUCAAGUCGUUUUGAAUUAUCAACACUCCAAAUUGAUAAUUGGCUCCGUUGAAAUUGAUCUACACUAUAAGAAAUAUUUAAAAACCGAAUUUGGUAAUUUUUGAAAAUCAGUCGAAAAAAUGAACAGUCAUAAAUGAAUAACCUUUUUAAAAUAGAUGUUAGACUUUCUCAAAUCAUGAUUAGAGUUAUUAUAUAUUACCUAAAUAGUAUAAAAAAUUUUCUAUUAAAAAUUCAAGCAGUUUGGAUUACUCUACACCGUUAAAUAAGCAAACGGCUCAUAUAGGCCGUCAAAAAUUGUCGAUUUUACGAUCUUUUGAUCACAUGUAAAAGAUUUUUAAAAUUUCUAAAAUUUAGUUUCUAGAUAAUUCAAAUACUCUAGAUCAACUUUAACGGUUUCGAUCAUCGAUUCGGCAUCUCUAUCAUCAAGAACGACUUGAUAGGACGAUGGUUUCUAUCCUAUUAAUAGGAUAGUAGCUGGAUUUUAUACAUACAUGGAUAGUAGCUGGAUUAUAUAUAUAUAUAUAGUUAGGCUAGAAUACUAUUAAUAGCAGAACAUCCUUUUUGCUAUCAAGUUUUUAGCCUUUGGAUCAAUUUUUUUCAUCAUUUCUAACCAUUGGAUUAAAUACUAUAACACAGUGGGGACCACUCAACCCUAGGGGGACCACUAAACUCUAACUGACUAAUAUCAUCAUAACCCUACAAUUUCUUAUCCAAAGAUUAAAAACUUGAUAGCAAAAAGAACGUUUUGCUAUGAAUAGUAUUCCAGCCUAAUUCUAUAUAUAUAUAUAUAUAUAUAUAUAUAUAUGCUACGGCUACUAUAAACCUAUGAGCAUAGAGCCCUUCAUACUCAUAAGUUAUUUUUAAUGAUGGAGCUUUUGAAUCGACGAUCCACUCCGUUAAUUAUAAUCUAGAGUAUUUGAAACUUCUAGAAAAUAAAUUUCGCACUUUUUCGAAAUCAUAAUAAACUUCAUCAAGUAGGUAUAAAAUGAACGAUUAAAAUCGAACGACGUCUUAAAAAUGGAUGAUCGGAUCCUUCACUUUAAGAUCGGAGUUAUUGAUUUUUAUCUAUGUAGUGAAUAGAAUUUUUAUCAAAAAUUCAACCGAUUUCAAUUCUUUUACACCGUUAAACUAACAAAUCUUCCAUACCGGUCGUUAAAAAUUGUCAAUUUUGUGACCUUUUGUAAUACACUGAACUUUUGCAAAUUGCGGAGUUCGAGUGUGUGGAAUGAAAUGUGGAACUAUCCUAUAUGUUCUAAAAGGUUUGGACAAGCUUUGGAAUAAGUUAGAGGAUGAUUGGAAAGCUUGAAGCAAGAAAGUGCAUUGAACUGGCGAAAUUCAGCAUUUUCUGCAUUGUGUACCUGUACAGACAUUACCCUGUACCGGUACAGCAAGCAGCAGCAGCUGCAGCUGCAGCUGCGUGGCAGUAAGGCUAUUUUGGUCAUUUCACUUCACCUAUCCAUCCUUAUCCCUCCCAGCUCGACCCUGAGGAUGCUUAUCACUUGUGAGCUCAGGGAAAUAGGAUUUUUAGCUCUUCUCUUUCUCUCUCUAGGAUUUGGAGCUCAAGAGAGCUUGGUUUGGUAGUUUCGGCUUCUUCGACUUCUUCUCCUUGCGCCGGCAGGUUGGGAGGCUGUAGCAGUGUUCUCUUGCUGCGAGGGAACAGUAGUGAAGGUGUUCCUGCAACCCAAAUCAGUUAGUAACUGAUUUGCUUCAAGGUAUAAGGGAUUAGCUCAUUUUACUCUCUAGUUUGUACUUUAGUGUUGGAAUUUGAUGUGUUUUAGUUUCACUGCUUCCACGUGAAUCUGAGGAUGUUUUCAACAGCUUGAGAGGGGUUAACUAGCUGUGAAUUAACCACCUUGGACCAGAGAUAAGCUGCUUUAAAGCUAGUUAAAGGUAAAAUAUGAUUUCUAAAGCUAUUUCGGAACUAUACGCGAAUUAAUCGAGUAACUUGAUGCAGUUCGAGAUUCCUUCUUUGCAGCAGGUUUGCGAACCACGUUGAGCUAAUCUCGUGACCUAGGGGACUAGUUUGGAAGGUGGUUAAACUAAAGGUAAGUUGAAAUUUCAGUAGAAAACUGAAAUCACUAGAUUUCGGCUAUUUUAAUGCGUAUACAAGCAUAUUGAUGCCAUUUUGACGUUGUUCGCAGCGAGAUUGCAAUCGAGCCUCGGAUCAUCUUCAGUUGGCAUUGGAGAGCAAUUGGAGGCUUAAUUUGAGGUACCAAUGUGAUCCGAAACAGGAAAUUUAAGUUACUACUUGGUACUAAGUGCAAAUUAGGCCGAAAUCGGACAUUUCGGUCGUCAUUUUGACACGGUGUUGAUGUUUGUGUUCAGCAGGAUUGGGGCUUUGUUGAGCUGAUUAUUGGGACUUCUUGUGACUAUUUGGAGCCUAGUACUAGGUGGGUUUGACCUAACCAGAGCAAGUGAAGCUCCUCUAUGUUCUAUAUGUAACUAUAGAAUCGGUUUAGUAGCGCAUUUUUAUGAUUAUGCGAUUAGUAAAGGAUUUGGUACAUAUCAUCAUAACCUUUGAUAUAAUUGAAAUAUAACCUCUAUGAAGUAGAGUGGACACACACAUGCAUAAAGUAUUUAUGUUCAUGUUAAAUGUAGUUGAAUAACAUUCUAGUACGAGUUGCUAUGUUCCUAGAAAGUAGAGAACAAUGAUAUGCUUGUAACUUUAUUGAUUAUAAAGUCGAGAACAAGAAUAUGUUUUAUGACUAUAAUGGCAAUGCCAUGAUAGUAGAAAGUUCCUAAUGCCAUAUGUAAAUUUAGCAUUAUUCUUGCAUGUUUAUUAAUCUAGUGGAUACUAGUUACCGCCAAUAUUUAUCAUGUUGAGAAUUCCGAUCAAAGGAUCGAGAGCGAGAACAUUGCAAGUUGGAAAAUGAUGAUUGAGACAUAUUGGACUUUGAAAUUGCUUGCUGCCAUUGUGCUCAUUCGCACAUGCUUGUGAGGGUCGCUCCCUACAAGCCGGCACUCCGGAGUUGGCCUACACGACAGUUCCUCACUCGUGCGGGAUUGGGUGCCGAAGUGGAUUGCCGUAGGGAGUGUAUACUACCACGGGGCCAUUAGGCGCGGUGCAAGCUGGACUACCUUGGGUAGGUCCUUAUGAAUGAAAUAAAAGUACUAAAUGACAAAGGACAGUAAUGAAUGCUCAUCAGUAUAGUGUACACUAUUUACUUACACAUCCAUAUUUAUGUUCGUGUUUAUAGUAGUUGCUAUGCUUCUAUUACUCAGCUGAUUCAUUACUGCAGAAAUCAUUGUUACAUGUUGCUUACAUGUCCAUUAAUUGUUAACAUUGGAAAUAUAUCAUGCAAAUUACUGCUUUUACUUUUAUUUAGUACAUCAUGAAACUAGUGGUAUAAUUCGCCGAGGCUGGCGGCUUACCCACUGGGAACUAUUGUUAAUAGUUCUCACGCCCUUUUUAUUGUUGUUUUUACAGAGCUAUCUACAGGAGAGGCUAGGGAUCAUGGCAAGGGAGUCGCGUCUAGCUAGACAUUGUUAGGAGCAUGCUAGUCGAUCACCUUGCUACUCGGGUUACGGCCGAGGGUGAUGUCCCUAUAUAUAGAGAGAGACUACCAUUAUACCUACUUUUGUAUACCCCGUGAUGUAUAUGUACUAUUGAACCAGAUAUUGUAGUUGUGAUACUUUCUCUUUUAGUUGAGAUUUUGGAAUGUGUACCCUUGUUCUAUUGUUGAUAAUUGUAUUAAUUUCUACUAUGCUUUGAUAUCAGGAUAGGAUCCUUUUAUGUUUUACUCCUAUCGACUUGUUUCUUGUAGACGCCUUAUAUACUGUAGGUAUAUGGCGGGUUUGUGCACGUACCGGAUAUGCUUCCGCUGGUACCCGGGCGUGACAGAUUAUAGUGGUAUCAGAGCCUAGGGUUGAGUCUUAGUAGACCUAGCAAACCUUAGGCUGGUUGGACUAUAAGAAUAGGCUCGUGAGAGACGAAGUCUAGUUGAGUUUGUUGUUAGCGAAAGUAUUUUGAUUGGAUAAUUUAUAAACUCCGAAUGGUAGGAGUUUGAUCGGAAUGUGCAAUUACUAACUUUGCAGAGGGCCACGUUGGCGGCCGACAACGUGACAUCGGAAGUUAGUAUAUGUUAUAUUUCAUUACUUUCGCUUGAUUAGCUGGCUUAUGUCUCUGAAGUAAAGAUUCAAUGACAUAGGUUUUAUUAAUCUAUGUUUGCUUUUGUGCUGCAACUUAAGAUGUCUUUGACCCGUUCGAGAGCUGCUGGCGCGGCUGAGGCGGCGGUCGCGGAGGAAGUGGGGACCUUCAUUACUUCUGGAUCUAGUGGGAUCCAUGAGUUGCAGGAUCAGCUCGCGAAGCUGACGAAUUUGGUUGCUCAGCAGGCUGCGGCAGCGCGACAGCAGAUGGAUGCCGCGCGUCGGCAGGAGGACAGGAUGAAGAGGUUAGAGGAUUUACUAUUGCGGCAGACGACCGACAGAGAGAUUCCUGAUCCUAUACCUACAGUACCAGACAGGGAUGCGAUAGUGAGAGCACAGUCACCAGUCCCAGACACACCCCCAGUAGCUCCGAGAGUAGAGCCCCGAUAGGAGACAGUUGUACCAUCCGUGCAUGUGGCUGCGGCAGGGACAGUGUUACCUAAGAUGGUGGGGGUUGAGGAGCGAGAGCGGAUGAUGGAAAGGUUGAAUGAGUUUCGUCAUUGCAACCCUCGUGUCUUUGACGGGAAAAAAGCUGAUCAUUCGGUGGUCGAGAAAUAGCUGAUGCACAUGGAGAAACUGUUCUAUGAUACUUUUGUUGAGGAGCGAUACAGAGUUUGGUUUGCGACGCACCACCUUGAUGGCGAGGCUUACAGGUGGUUGGUGGAUAUCCGUGAGGACCCCCGUGUGGAUUUAUCAACGAUUACUUGGAUGAGAUUUAAGGAAUUACUGUUGACAACUUAUUUUCCACAGAGUGUGAAGAGGCAGAUGGAAAGGGAUCUGAGAAACCUGAGGCAGGAGGAUAGGACAGUAGCAAAGUAUGAGCGAGAGUUCUCCCGAUUGCUGCAUUGUGUUCCUUUUGUGGUCAGAGAUGAUGAGGACAAGGCUUGGAUUUUUGAGGUGGGUUUGCGACCUGCGAUUUUCAGAUUGGUUCAGGCGUCAAACCUUUCUACUUACAGGGAAGUGGUGAACCGGGCACUGAUUGUUGAGAAGAGGGCAGAGAUUAUGAAGGAAAGAGAUGUGGUGGAUCGAAGUAAAGAAAAAAGGCCAGCAGCUGAGAGCAGUGGUCAGCAACCCUUCAGGAGACCGCCAAAGUAUCCGAGGGGCCAGCCGGGCCAGUCGAGAGGUCGAGGUUCUUCAGCAUCCCGUGGAGCACCCGAGUAUCGUCGACAGCCACGUUGUGUCAUUUGUGGUGGGCCUCACUUUCCACCACAGUGUCAACAACAUAGGGGCAGGUGUUUUAUCUGUGGCCAGGAGGGCCACUAUCAUUCAGAGUGUCCGAGAGGUCCUUCACCUGCACCAUCAUCAGCAUCAGCACCUGCAUCUUCUGCUCCGAGCCAGGGGACCCCGACAGCACCCUCGCAGUACAGAUGAUCACCGGGACAGCGGCAGUCUGAGAGUUCUCACAGGAUUCGAGUGGGCGCAUGUAUGCUGCCCAGACUGAGGAGGCCGCAGCAGCAGAGGAGGUCGUAGCAGGUAUCAUUAUGCUUUAUGAUAUUCGUGUUCGUGCAUUAUUUGAUGCUGGUGCUUCGCAUUCUUUUAUUGAUCGGCAGUUCGCCAAGUUGCAUAACAUUCAGAUAGUACCUACUUUGCAUCCGGGACGAGUGAUCGUACCCGACCAUACCCUAGAUGUUCAUGAGUUUUACCCUUACUGCCCCGUUAGGGUAGGUGACUCGAUUAUGCCAGUGGAUUUUUUGGCACUACACAAACUUGGUGAGUUUGAUGUAGUAUUGGGUAUGGAUUGAUUGACACAGUAUUAUACCACCAUAGAUUGCACGAACAGAACGGUGACCUUUAGGGAACCAGGUCAGUAAGAGUUUGUUUAUAAGGGGUGUCAGAGUUCAUUGUUCGCAAUGACUAUUAGCUCUUCGCGAGCACGACAGUUGAUUCGGAGAGGGUGUGUAGCCUAUUUGGCUAGCAUUUCUGUGAGUGACGGAGGAGCUGUCAAGAUUGAAGAUAUUCCAGUUGUGCAGGAGUUCGGGGAUGUGUUUCCAGCUGAGUUGCCUGGUAUGCCACCUGAUAGAAAAGUUGAGUUUGUGAUAGAUCUUGCUCCUGGGACUACCCCAAUCUCAAAAGCACCCUAUAGGAUGGCACCCGCUCAGUUGAAAGAGCUGAAGGCACAGUUACAGGAUUUAUUGGAUAAGGAUUUCAUUCGACCGAGUGUAUCUCCCUGGGGAGCCCCGGUGUUGUUUGUUAAGAAGAAGGAUGGAUCUCUUCGAUUGUGUGUGGAUUACCCAGAAAUUAACAAAGUCACAAUCAAGAAUAAAUAUCCCUUGCCCAGAAUCGAUGAUUUAUUCGAUCAGCUGCAAGGAUCGAAAGUAUAUUCUAAGAUUGAUUUGCAGUCAGGUUAUCAUCAACUUAAGAUUAAGCCUGAAGAGGUUUCCAAUACCGCUUUUAGGACACGGUAUGGGCAUUAUGAAUUCACAGUUAUGCCAUUUGGACUGACAAAUGCCCCAGCAGCCUUUAUGGAUUUAAUGAACCGUGUCUUUAAGCCCUAUCUGGACAGGUUUGUGGUCGUGUUUAUCGACGAUAUUUUGAUAUAUUCUCGAAGUGACGAGAAGUAUGAAAGCUAUCUAAGAGUGCUGUUACAAGUACUUCGAGAAAAAAAAUUGUUCGCCAAGUUAAAGAAAUGUGAAUUUUGGCUUCGAGAAGUGGUAUUUCUGGGACAUGUAAUUUCUGAAAUAGGAAUAGCGGUGGACCCAAUGAAGAUUGAAGCGAUUAAAGAUUGGCCUAGACCGACUAAUGUCACAGAGAUUCGGAGUUUCCUUGGUUUGGCGGGAUACUACCGAAGAUUUGUUGAAGGGUUUGCAAAGAUGUCUACGCCUCUCACUCGACUGACACAUAAAGGGGCUAAGUUUCUGUGGAAUGAGGCUUGCGAAAGAAGCUUUCAAGAGUUGAAGGAACGAUUGACCACCGCCCCGAUUCUAGCACUGCCUGUCACUGGAAUAGAUUAUGUGAUUUAUAGCGAUGCGUCGCUAAAUGGAUUAGGGUGUGUUCUAAUGUAGAAUGGCAGAGUAAUUGCUUAUGCAUCUCGCCAAUUGAAAGAUUAUGAAAAGAACUACCCUACACAUGAUCUUGAGUUAGUAGCUGUGGUAUUUGCUUUAAAGCUUUGGCGCCACUAUCUCUACGGCGAGCGUUGCGAAGUGUACACAGAUCAUAAAAGUUUAAAGUAUCUGUUUACUCAGAAGGAGUUAAACUUGAGAUAACGUAGAUGGUUGGAGUUGCUCAAGGAUUAUGAUUUGACUAUCCUCUAUCAUCCAGGAAAAGCUAAUGUUGUAGCAGAUGCUUUAAGUCGAAAAUCGACGAAAAAUUUGGCGAUGUUGUUAACUUUGCAACCACUGUUGGUAAAAGAAAUGGAGCAGCUGAAUUUGGAAGUUGUAGCUCCUGAUAUGCCUUGGAGACUUAUGUCAUUAGUAGUGCGACCUACCCUGAUCGAUCGAAUUAAAGAAAAGCAAAUUCAGGAUAAAUUCCUGCAAAAGAUUCGAGCAAAGAUCACUGCUGAUCAUGUUAGUGAUUUUCGAGUAGAUGAUCAGGGACUGUUGAAAUUUGGUGAUCGACUUUGUGUACCGGCAGAUUCUGGUAUUAAAGAAGAGAUUCUAGAAGAAGCACAUCGGGCGCUGUAUACUGUACACCCUGGGAGUACGAAAAUGUAUAAAAAUUUGAAGUUAACUUACUGGUGGUCUGGAAUGAAAAAGGAAGUUGCAGAUUUUGUGGCCAGAUGUUUAACCUGUCAGCAGGUUAAAGUGGAACAUCGACUUCCUGCAGAAAAACUACAAAACUUACCCUUACCAGCGUGGAAGUGGGAGAGGAUCACUAUGGAUUUUAUUGUUGGAUUACCUCGCUCACAGGCAGGUCAUGAUGCAAUUUGGGUAAUUGUGGAUAGAUUGACUAAAUCUGCCCACUUCAUUCCAAUUCAUACAGUGUGGUCGGGGGAAAGACUCGCACAAGUGUACCUAGAUGAAAUUGUGCGAUUACAUGGAGUACCAGCCUCUAUUGUUUCAGAUCGAGACACCCGAUUUGUUUCACAUUUCUGGAGAAGUUUACAGGAGGCCAUGGGUACCCGAUUGGAUUUUAGUACUGCUUUCCACCCCCAGAGUGAUGGACAGUCUGAGCGUACCAUCCAGACCCUUGAGGAUAUGUUGAGGGCCUGUGUGAUUGAUUACCAGGGCAGUUGGCCACAGUUCCUACCGAUGGCUGAAUUUGCUUAUAACAAUAGUUAUCAAGCAAGCAUUCAGAUGGCACCGUUUGAAGCUCUCUAUGGUAGGAAGUGCAGAUCACCACUUCAUUAGAGUGAAGUAGGGAAGAUAUUAGUUCUGGGUCCAGAUGUGUUACAGGAAGCUGAACCUAAAGUUCGACUUGCACGAGAACGUCUAUUGACCGCUCAAAGUCGACAAAGAAGCUAUGCGGAUAAACGUCGGCGAGAAUUGGAAUUUCAAGUUGGCGAUCAUGUAUUUCUAAAAGUUUCACUGACAAAGGGAGUUAAGAGAUUUGGUAUUCGAGGAAAGUUAAGUCCUCGAUUUAUUGGACCUUACGAGGUGUUGGAGCGGAUAGGCCCCGUAGCAUAUCGGCUUGCUUUGCCGCCGAGUCUAUCAGGAGUGCAUAAUGUGUUUCAUGUAUCUACACUGCGGAAGUAUGUUUUUGAUUCGACCCACAUAUUGGAAAACACCCCGGUGGAUUUACGAGAAGAUUUGAGCUUUGAGGAGCAUCCAGUGAAAAUAUUAGCUCGAGAAGUGAAACGGCUUUGAAACCGCGAAAUACUCCAUGUGAUGAUACUUUAGAGCAAUCACGAUGAACGAGAAGCCACUUGGGAAUUGGAGAGUGCGAUGUUAGAGCACUACCCCUAUCUUUUAUCAACGGAAUCUUGAGGUAAGUGAUCACAAGUUUUGCGGACGAAACUUCUUUUUAGAAGAGGUGAAUGUAAUACACUGAACUUUUACAAAUUGCGGAGUUCGAGUGUGUGGAAUGAAAUGUGGAACUAUCUUACAUGUUCUAAAAGGUUUGGACAAGCUUUUGAACAAGUUAGAGGAUGAUUGGAAAGCUUGAAGCAAGAAAGUGCAUUGAACUGGCGAAAUUCAGCAUUUUCUGCAUUAUGUACCGGUACAGACAUUACCCUGUACCGGUACAGCAAGCAGCAGCAGCUGCAGCUGCGUGGCAGCAAGGCUAUUUUGGUCAUUUCACUUCACCUAUCCAUCCUUAUCCUUCCCAGCUCGACCCUGAGGAUGCUUAUCACUUGUAAGCUCAGGGAAAUAGAAUUUUUAGCUCUUCUCUUUCUCUCUCUAGGAUUUGGAGCUCAAGAGAGCUUGGUUUGGUAGUUUCGGCUUCUUCGACUUCUUCUCCUUGCGCCGGCAGGUUGGGAGGCUGUAGCAGUGUUCUCUUGCUGCGAGGGAACAGUAGUGAAGGUGUUCCUGCAACCCAAAUCAGUUAGUAACUGAUUUGCUUCAAGGUAUAAGGGAUUAGCUCAUUUUACUCUCUAGUUUGUACUUUAGUGUUGGAAUUUGAUGUGUUUUAGUUUCACUGCGCCACCUGAAUCAGAGAGUGGUUUCAGCCAGCUUGAAGGGGUUAGACAGUUGAAAUAUAACUCACUUGGGACCAGAAUAAAUAAGCUGCUCUAAUGCCUGUUAAGGUAAAAUAUAUUCUAACACGCUAUCGGUAACUAUAGUCGCCGAAUAAUCAGUAAGCUGAGCAUUCGAAGAUUACCUCUUCGCAGCAGUUGCAACCACUUGAGGGGGGUCGCUAAUCUCCGUGCACCUUAAGGGAGACAUAGUUUGAAGUUAAACUAAGGUAAGUAAAUUUCAGUGACAAACUGUAAAUCACUAGAUCUCGGCUAUGGAACGCGUAGAGGAUAAGCAUAUCUGAUGCGCGAUUUUGACGAUUGUUUUGCAGCGAGACUUUGCAUCGAGCCUUGAUCAUCUUCAGUUGGCAAUUGGAAGAGGCAAUUGGAGCUUAAUUUGAAUACUCAAGUGACCGAAACACGGGAAUUUAAUUUACAUAAUUGUACUAAGCAAAAUUAGCCGCCGAAGUCGACAUUUCGGCAUCGUCAUUUGACACGUUGAGUGUCAGCAGGAUUGGCUUUGACAUCUACUUGGACUCUCUGACUAUUUGGAGCCUAAGUACUUCAGUGGGUGUUGACCUAACCAGCAAAGGUGAAGCUUCCCUAUGUUCUAUAUGUAACUAUAAAUCCCGUUAGUACCGAUUUAUGAUUAUCGAUAAGAAAGUGUUGGUAACAUACAGCAGAAAGCUUGAUACUAAUUACCGAGAAUAGAACCUCUAGAAGUCAGGGACACUACACAGCAUAAAGACUAGGUUGCAUGUUUAAAGUCGCAGUGAAUGACAUCUAGUACGCAGUUGCUAUGUCCAAAAUAGAGACAACAAUGAUAGGCUUAACUUAUGAUUAUAAACGAGAACCAAAAUAUGUUUAAUGACUAAUAAUGUCAAUCGCCAUGUAUAGUAGAGAAGUUCCCUAAAUGGCAUAUGUAAAUUAUCAUUAUUCUGCAUGUGAUAAUCUAUGACUACUAUUACUCAUACUAAUAUACAUGUGAAAUUCCGAUCAAAGGGAUCGAGAGCGAGAAAUUGCAAGUUGAAAAUGAUAUUGAGACAAUUUGGACUUUUGAAAUUGCUUGUGCCCGAUGUGCGCAUUCGCACACUUGUAGGGUCGCCCCGUUACAACCGCACUGCAAGAGGGGCCUACGCGAGCAGUCUGCCCGCCACCUGUGCGGGAUUGGGUGCCGAAGUGGAUUGCCGUGGGGAGUGUAUACUACCACGGGGCCAUUAGGCGUGGUGCAAGCUGGACUACCUUGGGUAGGUCCUUAUGAAUGAAAUGAAAGUACUAAAUGACAAAGGGCAGUAAUGAAUGCUCAUCAGUAUAGUGUACAGUAUUUACUUACACAUCCAUGUUUAUGUUCGUGUUUAUAGUAGUUGCUAUGCUUCUAUUACUCAGCUGAUUCAUUACUGCAGAAAUCAUUGUUACAUGUUGCUUACAUGUCCAUUAAUUGUUAACAUUGAAAAUAUAUCAUGCAAAUUACUGCUUUUACUUUCAUUUAGUACAUCAUGAGCCUAGUGGUGUAAUUCGCCGAGGCUGGCGGCUUACCCACUGGGAACUAUUGUUAAUAGUUCUCACGCCCUUUUUAUUGUUGUUUUUACAAAGCCAUCUACAGGAGAGGCUAGGGAUCGUGGCAAGGGAGUCGCGUCUAGCUAGACAUUGCUAGGAGCAUGCUAGUCGAUUACCUUACUACUCGGGUUACGGCCGAGGGUGAUGUCCCUAUAUAUAGAGAGAGACCUCCAUUAUACCUACUUUUGUAUACCCCGUGAUGUAUAUGUACUAUUGAACCAGAUAUUGUAGUUGUGAUACUUUCUUUUUUAGUUGAGAUUUUGGACUGUGUACCCUUGUUCUAUUGUUGAUAAUUGUAUUGAUUUCUACUAUGCUCUGAUAUCAGGAUAGGAUCCUUUUAUGUUUUACUCCUAUCGACUUGUUUCUUGUAGACGCCUUAUAUACUGCAGGUGUAUGGCGGGUCUGUGCACGUACCGGAUAUGCUUCCGCUGGUACCCGGGCGUGACACCUUUUGAUCAUAAGGUAAACAAUGUCGAAAAAUUAUAAAAUUUGAUUUCUAAACGUUUUAAAUGGUUUAGAUAAUGUUCAACGGUAUGGAUUGUCGAUUCGGAAGCUCUAUUAUCGAAAACAACUUAUGAGUACGAGGGCGAUCAUACUCAUAAGAGUAUAGUACCCGAACUCAUAUAUAUAUAUAGAAUUAGGCUACUAUACUAUCUAUAGUACCGGAACUCCGGUACUAUAGUCUUGUUUUUGAUCUUAGGGUGUUCAAAUUAAUGAUCCACACCGUUAAAUAUGAUCUAGGGUAUAUGAAGUUCUUAGAAAUAAAAUUUUAGAUUUUUUCGACAUCGUUUACUUAGUAAAUAAAUUUUGUCAAAAUGGACGAUGAAAAUUGAAUAAUCUUUAAAAUUUGAACGUAGGACUUUUAAAUUCAAGAUCAAGAAUGUUAACCUUAAUCUAGAUAGUUUAAAGUAUUUUCUAUCAAAAUUUGAAGAAAUUUAGAUUCUUCUACACCAUUAAACUCCAAACUCACUAUAGUAGCCUUUGAAAAUUGACAAUUUCGAAAUGGUUUUGAUCAUAAAGUAAACUAUGUCGAAAAAAUAUAAAAUUUUAUUUUUAAAAACUUUAAAUAUCUUAGAUCAGUUUUAACGGUGUGAAUUGUUCAUUUGAACACCCUAAAAUCAAAAACGGGACUACAGUACUGGAGCCCCGGUACUAUAGAUAGUAUAGGAGACUAGCUCUCUCUCUCUCUCUCUCUCUCUCUCUCUCUCUCUCUCUCUCUCUCUNUUCUCUUCUUGUCAUGUAAGCACUGCAACCACUAUCAAAAUACCAAAUAUUUUUCGAAUUUGUAUUUACGGUACAGCAAGCAAAAAGAACAUCGGAUUCAACAUAGUUAGCAUCAACUUGAGAAUUAUUCUCCUUUUUUAAUCGACAAAAUCUUUCUAUAUAGUCAUAUUUCUUACAAUAAAAAUAUUGGAUAUUCUUAAAGGUGUUAUCUCGUUUUGAACUAUAGGAUUUCUUGCUGUUGCUAUUUCGCUGAUCUAACCCUCCAGAUCUACCUCUAUCUCUAUUUCCUUGACCAUGAUUGUGACCUUUUCCACGACCACAUGAUGAAGCUUGCCGAUUGAAAUCAGCAAGUCCUCUAUCCCUAUCUUUUGACACAUUCAAAAAAGCAUUCUCCACAGAUUUUUCAUGAGGUUUAUCAAUGCGAUCUUCAUUUGACAAAAGAGAGUCCAAAAGUUCGGUACAAGAAUAUUUAGUAAAUUUUUUUGACUCUUCAAUAGCAGCCACAACAUGAUUAUAUUUAAGAGUCAAACUUCGUAAAAUUUUUUUGACAACCUUUUGAUCUGACAAAUCUGCACCGUAUGAACGCAUGAUGGUUACUAGUUCCAUAACUUUUGAGAAAAAAGAAUGAACAUUUUCAUUUUCAUGCAUAAAAGUGUAGUAUCCUUGGUUUUUGAGUUGCUCAUGGAUCUCAACAUCUGAGACUUGGCGACACAUCUGGAGAGUGUCGGGACAAGUCGAAGUCGUUUUGAAGCAAAUGGACCCAAAACGGACUCAGUGCGAUGCGAGAGCAGAGUUUUGACAUUGAAAUCUUCAAAGUGCAGGUUUUCGGUAUUGAGUACCGGUACCAUGCAAGGGAGUACCGGUACCCUAGUGUAUUUCCAAACAGACUGUUCUCGGGUUGCGCCAAUUUGAUGCUGAGUACCGGUACGGCAUCGGGCUGGUACCGGUACCUAGUGUGCGAGCUGGCUGGCUGAGAGGCCGAGUACCGGUAACCAAAUCUGGUACCGGUACUCCAGCUGGGAUUUUGAGUAGGUGAGGGGCCUUUUGGUCAUUUAUUGCAUCGUUAAUAUCACCCUUAUCCCCACCGCUUCAUAUACGUGUAGAGAGGCAGGGAAUGAGCCUUUGGUUACUACUUCCUCUCUCUUUCUCUAGGUUGGAGUCGUGUGCAUGGUGGAGGCCAUGGCUUGAGCUCGGAUCGACGUCAACGUUACGCCGGAGAGUCGUUCGAGCAUGUGGGCGUCGCGGUUGCGCCGUUGGAGGCCGGGCGAGCGCAUGAUUCAUCUCCUCUCGACUUCUCGUCGUUGUUGGACGAGCGUUUCGAGGUGGGUUGAAGUUUACUGAAAUCGUUGGAUUUCCUCCCAAGCCUAGAUGUUAUCAGCAUGUAAGCUUCAUGUGUAAUAUCAUGUUAGCAGCUCGAUUCACCGAUUUGCAUUAAGUUUAAUAAAAUCUGAAUUUGGAGUUAAGCUAGUAGUUUAAUUUUACAUAUUGGAAUUGGAAUUGAUUUACGAGAAAACAUUUAGAUCCUACACUGUCAUUUAUGAAAUUUACCAGAUUUAGCUUUAGGAGCUUUGGUUUGUUCCUAUUGCUGCUGUUUGUAUGCGGUAGAUAUCCAGAUUAGUGUAGAGUGAGUUUACGCUCGUGCUAGGGUACCGAGCUUAUUUUUACAGUAGUAUAUAGACUAUUUCGGAUUGUCGGGUGCCGUUGCGGUUGACGGUGGACCCAGAUUCCUGUAUUUGCAUCAGAUAUUGCCAAAAGCACGUGAGUUUUGGUUGUUAGAUCAGUUAGGCCCAUUUGCUUUGAUUAUAGCCUGUGAGAGCCUGAUUGAACUCGGCAUAGAUACGCUUGCAUACUCGGUUGGGUAGCAUCCACAAGUGCCACUCUGGAGUCGGGCUUUGUGCAUCUGCGUUAAUGUCGUAGUGUCCAGAUUGGACUUGCUCUUCACCAACUACCCAGUGUGGUGGUGGUUGGUGUAGCUUUGGCAGGCGGGACGGGUGUGUUCACAGUCCCUAGCGAGAUUGUUGUAGAGAUUGCAUCUUGCUUGUAUCUACAGAUAGCUAGUGUUGGAUAGCAAUAGUAUAGUAGCAUGAAGCUGUAGAGUUUUUCCAACUUCCUUUACUAUCCUUGUUCAUACUUUCUGUAAACUUAGUGGGUGGGCCGUUGAGGUCGGUAGCGGUACCCACUGAGGACUACUUUUUUUUUUGCAGUAGUUCUUACACCCAGUUGUUGACCCCUUUUUGCAGAGCCUUCUUCUGCGGUUGCUGCUGUCGCCAAUUCUGAUCGUGGAAAGGGAGUUGCGAGCUAGAUGCUUUCCAGACUUGUUGCAGUGCUAGAAAAGUACCUCCCAUAGGUAGUUUUGGAGUUUUUAUGUACAUAUGGUUGUUGUCUGGGUACUCACUGGGUACUCACUUACCAACCCUUUUCUAUUUUCUUGUGUUUUAUAGGUGAGCACUAUGCCUCGACGUGGACGACCUCCAUUGUCGGCAUCGGGUGAACGCUCCCGUGUGCGACCAUCGACACGGACCCACCUACCACCGCCCGAGACGCUUGAUCAGGCGGGACCUAGUGAAAGCCAGGGUUUGCGAGAGCAGGUAGCAAGUCUGACUGAGACUACAAGGCUGCAGGGAGAGUAUAUUCAGAGGUUAUGCGACAUGUAGGCUCAACAGACGGGUACCGCCCCACGUGUCCCAGAGUAGCCCGCACCCCUGUCGACUGGUCAUACUACUAUACCAACAGUUCCCACUUCCCCGAUAGGGACCACUUCUACUCCACCGACUAUGCAGACUGCACUGCCUGAGACUAUUACUGUAGCACCUACUACUGCUCCUGAUCUAUUUGUAGUCACACGAGAGGUUUCCGAGGCAGGGCAGAAGCGAAUUCGGAUGAGGUUGGUGGAGUAUAGGAGGUUCGACCUACCUCAUUUCCGUGGGUCGAGCAUUGAACCAGGAAUAGUGGAGGCUUGGGUAAGGGGGAUGGAGCGACUAUUUGAGGAUUUGUUUAUUCCCGAGAGAGAUCAGAUAUACUUAGCAGUUCAUUGCCUUGAGGAAGACGCUCGUGAUUGGUGGACGAGGACUCGGAGGUCUAGGCCUGAGGAUGCGCCACCGGUGACUUGGACAGAGUUUCCGGGCAUGCUCUUUGACAUGUACUUUCCUAGUAGUGCGAAGGAAAGAAUGAAGGAUGAAUUAAAGAAGUUGACACAAGGGAGUCACUCGGUGCUGGAGUACUUUCAGGAAUUUAGCCGCUUGUUGACAUACGUGCCGUUCGUUGCGAGGAAUGACCGACAUAGAGCAGAUAUGUUUGAGAAGGGAUUAAGCCCCGAGCUCUAUAAGUUGGUACAGAUUCAGCAUCUCCCGACAUUGGAGGCAUCGGUUGAGAUGGCUAUGCGCGCAGAGCGAGGUGAGGUAGUGCUGCGAGAAAGGGCUGAAAUGGAGCAAAGUAGUGAUAGGAAGAGGCUUGCGGAGUCCGAGGCUGGACCCUCCAGCUGAAGGAGACCACCGAGGUAUCCACGAUCUCGUUUUCAGGGUCGUGGAUCCUUUGCGGGACGGAGACCUGGUAGUAUCAGGUCACCAGGUGGUGCUAGGCAGCAGCAACAGCGACAGGGCUAGAUACGAUGUGUGAUUUGCGGAAGUAAGCACCAGUCGCAGAUUUGUGCUCAGCGGGAUGGUCGAUGCUAUCAUUGCGGCCAGGUAGGACAUCGAUGGGCCACUUGCACCCGAGGAGCUUCACCUGCCCCGUCGACACCUGCCCCGUCGACAGCUUCUUUUCCUUCGACUUCUCGUCAGAUGGCAGGAGUUCCACCCACCUUUACAUCAGAUCGAGCUCCAGCUUUACGCCCAGUAGAGAGACAGCCGCCAGCACUGAGUGGACGAGUUUAUACAGCACAGGUUGAGGAUUCAUCUGCGGCCGAUACGGUGGUUGCAGGUAUUACUUUGAUUUCUAGUAUUAAAGCUCGUACUUUAUUUGACACCGGUGCAUCACAUUCUUUUGUGAGUCGAGCAUUUGCACUAUUGCAUGGGUUGGAGCAUGAGUCGUUGACACUUUCACGUGAGGUACAGAUUCCUGAGCAUACAUUGCAUGUAGAUGAGUGUUGUCGAUCUUGCCCAGUUCAGUUAGAUCGCUGGAUUAUGCCCGCGGACCUCUUGGUCCUAAGGCAAUUACGGGAUUUUGAUGUUGUGUUGGGGAUGGACUGGCUCACCUGCUAUUAUGCGACUAUUGAUUGCGGGGCGAGAACUGUAGUUUUUCACGAGCCAGGACAGGAGAAGUUUGUGUACAAGGGUUGUCAGAGUACUAUUUUUGCCACGACGGUCUCCACUUCUCGGGCGAGACAGAUGAUGAGUCGUGGGUGUGUGGCCUUUUUGGCAACUGUGGUGGAGGUGCCUACUGCUGUACCGAGGCUUGAGGACAUUCCUGUAGUCCGGGAGUUCCCAGAUAUUUUUCCGCCGGAGCUACUGGGUAUGCCACCGGAUCGGAAGAUAGAAUUUGUGAUUGACAUAGUACCAGGAACUACGCCAAUCUCGAAAGCACCUUACAGGAUGGCACCGGCUGAGCUGCGAGAACUAAAAGCACAGUUGUUGGAUCUAAUGGACAAAAGAUUUGUGCGACCGAGUUUGUCACCCUAGGGGGCACCAGUACUAUUUGUAAUGAAGAAGGAUGGUUCACUUCGAUUGUGUGUAAACUACAGAGAGCUGAAUAAAGUGACUAUCAAGAACAAGUAUCCGUUGCCACGGAUCGAUGACCUUUUUGAUCAGUUGCAAGGAGCCUACGUUUUCUCCAAGAUUGACUUGCAAUCUGGAUACCACCAAUUGAAGAUCAAGAUAGAAGAUGUAUCGAAAACAACCUUUAGGACGCGCUAUGGGCAUUACGAGUUCACUGUGAUGCCAUUUGGUUUGACGAAUGCCCCCGCUGCAUUUAUGGAUUUGAUGAACAGAGUGUUUAAGUCAUUUUUGGAUCAAUUUGUGGUGGUCUUUAUUGACGAUAUCCUGAUAUACUCUCGAAGUGAUGUUGAACACGAGAAGCAUUUGAGGCUUGUUCUGCAGAUUUUGCAAGAAAAGAAGUUGUAUGCAAAAUUGAAGAAAUGUGAAUUUUGGCUUCAAGAAGUAGCCUUUUUGGGCCAUGUGAUCUCCGCAACUGGUAUUGCAGUUGACCCGAAGAAGAUUGAAGCUAUUCAGGAUUGGCCCAGGCCAACGACAGUUACAGAGGUGCGGAGCUUUCUUGGACUUCCCGGCUACUACCGUCGAUUUGUGGAGUGCUUUGAGAAGCUUUCUGCUCCCCUCACACGUUUGACUCGAAAGGGACUUAAGUUUAUAUGGAGUGAGGAAUGUCAAAGGAGCUUCGAAGAGCUGAAGACUAGGUUGAUGACAGCCCCGAUUCUUGCCCUACCUGUAAUAGGGGAAGAUUUUGUAAUUUGUAGUGACGCCUCCCGCACUGGGUUAGGUUGCUUAUUGAUGCAGCAUGGUAAGGUAAUUGCUUAUGCCUCGCGACAAUUAAAGGAAUAUGAAAAGAACUAUCCUACUCAUGAUUUGGAGCUCGCUGCUGUGGUGUUUGCGUUGAAAAUGUGGUGUCAUUAUUUAUAUGGAGAGCAUUGUGAAAUUUACACUGACCACAAGAGUCUCAAGUACUUAUUCACUCAGAAGGAAUUAAAUUUGAGACAACGUCGUUGGCUAGAGUUGUUGAAAGAUUAUGAUGUAAUUAUUCUCUAUCACCCUGGAAAGGCCAACGUGGUUGCAGAUGCCUUGAGCCGCAAAGCUGUGGAGAAUCUGAGUUUGUUGAUCACCAAACAGGCGCCACUGUUGGAGGAGAUGCGGCGACUAGAACUAGAAGUUGUAGCCCUAGGGAUCUCUGCUAGACUUAUGUCCUUGGUCUUGCAGCCCACUUUAAUGGAUAAGAUUAGGGAGAAGCAGGGUGAAGACUCACACCUAGCAAAGAUUAGAACAACUUUUGAUGCUAGUUAGGCAGGGGAGUAUAGUGUUGACACCUCAGGGACUCUUCGAUUUCGGGAUCGCUUGUAUGUACCCGGAGAUGCGACACUCUGUGAGCAGAUUUUGAAAGAGGCGCAUAGCUCUCCUUACGCUGUUCAUCCUGGAGGAACAAAAAUGUAUCGUGAUCUGAAGUCGCAUUAUUGGUGGCCAGGGAUGAAGAGGGAUAUUAGGAGAUAUGUAGCACAAUGUUUGACUUGUAAGCAAGUAAAGGCAGAACAUCGACUUCCUGCGGGCAAACUUCAAAAUCUCCCAAUCCCUGUUUGGAAAUGGGAUAUGAUUACCAUAGAUUUUGUGCUUGGAUUGCCACACUCACAAGGCGGACAUGAUGCUAUUUGGGUAAUAGUUGAUAGAUUGACGAAAUUGGCACACUUUAUCCCAGUUCAAAAGACUUGUUCUAGGGAGAGACUCGCUCAGAUAUAUAUUGAUAAGAUAGUGAGACUCCAUGGAGCACCGACUUUGAUUGUAUCUGAUAGGGACCCGAGAUUCGUGUCACACUUUUGGAGGAGUUUACAGAUAGCCUUGGGGACUCAGCUCCACUUUAGCACUGCGUUUCACCCACAGACCGAUGGUCAGUCCGAGAGGACGAUCCAGAUACUUGAGGACAUGUUGAGAGCCUGUGUUCUUGACUUUGGGGGCGGAUGGUAUCGACACUUCGCAUUGGCAGAGUUUGCAUACAAUAAUAGUUAUCAGUCGAGUAUUAAGAUGGCUCCAUUUGAAGCAUUAUAUGGACGUCGAUGUCGAUCCCCCUUAUAUUGGAGUGACGUGGGUGAACGAAAGACUAUGGGCGCAGAUAUUUUGAUAGAAACAGAAGAAAAGGUGAAGCUUGCGCGACAACAUAUUUUGGCAGCUCAAAGUUGACAAAAGAGCUAUGCAGAUACUCGACGACGAGACCUUGAGUUCCAGGUGGGAGAUCAUGUUUUCCUAAAGGUUUCACUGUCGAAGGGUAUACACAGAUUUGGAUUGCGAGGAAAAUUGAGCCCGCGUUAUAUUGGUCCUUUCGAGAUUUUGGAGCAAGUUGGACCAAUGGCCUACCGUAUCGCUCUGCCACCUAGACUUUCAGGUGUUCAUGAUGUCUUUCACGUGUCAACCUUGAGGAAGUAUGUUUUCGACCCUACGCAUGUGAUCGAUUACGCUGCUUUAGAAUUAGCGGAGGAUUUGAAUUAUGAGGAGCAACUGAUGCAAAUUCUAGCGCACCAGGAGAAAAAGCUACGGAACCGAGUCAUUCCCUACGUGAAGAUACAUUGGAGCAAUCAUGACGAAAGGGAGGCGACUUGGGAACUUGAAUCUGAGAUGCGGAAGCGCUAUCCCUUUUUGUUUGCGGAGCUUCCUUGAGUAAGUUUGUUUGUUUCGAGGACGAAACUUUUUUAAGGAGGGGGGGAUGUAGAAUGCGGACUUUUGUUACUUGUGUAGGUGUGAGAAAGAGGGUGGACUUAAGGUGAGUUCGUUUUGACGCUAAAUUGACGUGAAAACAGAUUAUUUGGGCCAAGUUGUUUCUACGAGGGACUAUUUUGCAAAUAGCCAACUUGUGUGGGCUAGAGUGCAAAACUAGGAGUGUUGAUCUUAUCCCCUCUCUCUCUCUCCCUCUCUCUGAUGUUGCAAACGAAAGAGAAAAAGAAAAAGAGAAAGAAAGAAGAGAAGUAGAAGAAGUGGAAGAAGAAGAAUUAGAGGUGAGUUAUAUUGCUUCUUAUCUUUUCCUUUUCUUUCUUUUUUAUCUUCCUUUUUCCUUUCUUUCUCUUCUCCUUUUCUUCUUCCUUUCCUUCCAUCCUCUUCUUCCCCUGCUGCUGCUACUGCAGCUUUCCUGCCCUGCUGCUGCAGCGGGUACUCUAGCAGCAGCAGUAGCAAAUUGAUGCUGCUGUAGGGGCAGCAAGAAAAAGAAAAAGAAAGAAGAGGAUGAAGAAAAGAGAAGGAAAGAAAGAGAGAAAACGAGAGAGAGAGAGAGAUGGGAAGAAAAGAAGAAUGAGAUGAAACAGUAUGAAUGAAGAGAAAGAAUGAAUUGGAUCGAGUAAUGCACUUGGCGUGAUUCGCACCUCUAACCUUCAAACGACGCUUGCAGGGUGUCCAGGAGCAUGAAUUAGAACGCAUUACUUAUCCGGUUAGUUGCUAUUUACGAUAAUUGACGUUCAAGUAACGUGAAUUGAGCUCGUUUGGAAAUCUCAAUUCUUUGAUUGUAAUUCGGAAUGUUUUGUCGUGUUUAGUGUUUUCGGGCAAUCGUGAGGUGAGGAAGGGUCGCGUGUAGUGCUUCUCUUGCCCGGGACGACGUAGCGAAUUGAGGUGGGUUCCGAGUAGCUGAAAACGGCAAAUUUCCUCUUAUGUCUAUUUUGGCACAAGUUAGAUACUCUCUGUCGAUCCUCAUGUGAAACUUGAAUUGCACAUACAUCUAUUUUCUAUCGUUCCUCAUUUUGUGAAAAUUGAAGCACGAACAUGAAAUUUCGUAUUGAAACAUGAUUAGGAGCAUGAGUAUGAAUAUAAGCCUAGCUAUUGUGACUCGUUUAUAGCAUUUGAAAGAUAUUAGCUGAUUGUUAUUCCUCUCUUGCGUUGAUCAUACUAUGUAUCACAGGAUCUUUUUGGAUAUUUGAUAUUGAGUUGAGACAUGUGUCGACUAGCUCCUAUGGAUAUUAUGUGUUGAGUUGAUCAUAGUAUGAGUAGUUUCUCGUGAUUAUGGAUUAUAGCCUGCAGAUGCCAUCUUGAGUUGACAGGAUAUGUGAUAUGAUACUCGGUAGGGGUCGGUCCCCUCGAGUGCUGCUCUGGAUGCUGGCCAGUGAUAGUUGAGACAGUAGCCUAGGGGUGGCCGUCACACCUGCGGGAGUGUGUCCGCGCACUAGGAAGGUGCAGGCUUGACCGGACCUAUGAGUCGGUCAUGGCGAUUGGGUUUCAUGACUGUAUUUCUUUAUUCUUAUAUAUUGAAAUGACCAUAUAAAAGUAAUUUGACAUGUAAAUUUAGAAGUGUAUAACUGCAUAUGAUAUUCUAUCCUAUGUCUUCACUAGUAAUCUGUAUAUUGCUUUCAUGUUCCUAUAUGUAGCAAAUACCUAGAAGACUAUUUGACAAUAGUUGAGUUCUUGUUAGUUUUAUGCUUUUAGUUUAAUGUAUAUUGCUCUUUUAUUUACCUUUGCUCAUUUAGACCUAGUGGGAAGGUUGUUGUCGUCGCCGACCGUACCCACUGGGAACUGCUAUUAGUAGUUCUCACGCCCUCUUGUGGUCUCCUUUAUCAGUGACAGGUACAUCGUCAGUUGAGCGAGGUAAGGGGAUUGCGCCUAGUUAGCCAUCCUACCAGUAUACUUACUUGUAGCGGACUCCUAGAUAGUGAGCUACCGUACUCUCUUUUGGACUGGCGCGGGCCAGGGCCAUUUGCUUGUACUUGAUUUUGGGCGUGGAGUUGUGUAUCUUGUUACUAAUUUCUUGUUGUUCGGUGGUUUAGCUUAUGUAUAGUGCUUUGCUACUCGUCUUUUGGCUUUUAGUAACUCUUCUUAAUACUUGUAAUGUGGACAAUGGUUUCUUGUAACUCUUGAAAACUGUUAGAUUACGUUUCCGCUUCGUUCGGACAGGAAAAACUUUGUCCGUUCGGAGGGUCUGUUAGCGUCCCGCAGUCUUCCGUUGCGAACUGGGGGCGUGACACUUUUUAUAAUGCUUAACACAUGCGUAUAGAUAACAAUGAAAAAACCAAAAAUCUAAACUGAUUAACAACUUAAAAACAAAUCUAAGUAAAAAAAUCUAACAAUUUGAUCUUAUCUUCAACAGUACUUGGGGAAGAGCCUGAUUACCCUUGACCUUAAGUGCCUACGAAAUGGAGAGAAGCUUGAUUGCCCUCGACUCUUCAUUAGGUAUUUAAUAUGAAAAUGAAACCAAACUAGUAAAUUGGUUAGAGAUGAUGUAAGAGUUAGGAUAAUCAUUUAGGCCAUCGGUAUUAUAAUAUCAUACUUGGCAUAUUAUUCUUUCACUAAGAGGUAUGUUUAGUCAUUUGUAUAUCAUGUAAUUGGCUCAAAGUAGUGAUUUGCAUGCUUAUUGAAAUCUAAGUUGGGAGCUUAAAAUGUUAGUUACAUAUACAUGUUGGAUUUGGAAUUGACUUAGAAGAAAAUUAGCGAUUCUAUACCGUUAUUUGCUAAAACUACCAGAUUUAGCUCUAGGAGCCGUAGUUUGUUUGUAUCGCCGCAGUUUGUGGGCGGUGGAUAUCCAAAUUAGUGUAGAAUGCAUUUACGCUCGUGCUGGGAUGCCGAACUUAUUUUUACAGCAGUGUUUAGGCUGUUCCGGACUGUCGGGUGCCGUUGAGGUUGACGAUGGACCCAGAUUACUGUUUUUUGCAUCAGAUUGUGCCAAGGACACGUGAGUUUGGUUGUUAGACUUUGUUUACUUGACUAUAGCCUGUGAGAGUCUGAUUGAGCUCGAUAGAGAUACGCUUGCAUACUCGAUUGGGUAGCGCCCACGAGUGCCACUCCAGAGUUGGGCUUAGUACUGUUGCGUUGGUGUCAUUGUGUCCUGAUUGGACUCACUCUCAACUGACUACUCAGCAUGGUCGUUGUUAGUGUAGCUUCGACAGGCGGAAUGGGUGUAUUCACAGUCCCUAAUGAGAUUGGAUUAGAGAUUGCAUUAUUCUACAGAUAGUUAGUGUUGGAUCAUGAUAGUACAGUGGCAUAUAGCUAUAGAUUGUUUUUAGUUUCUUUACUAUCAUUAAGCAUGCCUUCUGUAGACUUAGUGGGUGAGCCGUUGAGGUCGGUAGUGGUACCCACUGAGGACUACUUUUUCUUGCAGUAGUUCUCACACCCAGUUGUGGAUCUUUUGCAAAGCCCUCUUCUUCGGCUGCUGCUGUCGCGGAUACUGAUCGUGGAAAGGGAGUGGCGAGCUAGAUCCCUUCCCGGUUGUUGCUGAUCUAGAGCAUACUAGCUACAGGUAGUUAUAGUUUUUUGUUCUUAUACAUACUGAUGUUUGUAUCUCGCUGGAACGGGUAAUUUUGUGUACCAGGAUACUAUAUAUGUAUAGUGAACCUUUGUUUUUUUAUAUAUGUUGUUCUUUUUAGCAGCUCUAUACUACUGGUUGUAGUGUUGUAUGAUUACAGGUACAGGUACAGCUAUCGUUUCUUAUACAGAAAAAUUUUUUAUAUGUACGGCGGUUCUGUUAGCGUGUCCGGGGAAAUGAGUAAUCCGAGACGUGACAUUAAGCUUUUAGAUUGAGUCCAAGCCUAUAUUGUAUGAAAUAAUUAUUUAUCUAUGAAAGUUUGAGCUAUUAGAGAAUGAUAUUCUUAAUCAUUGUGCUCUAUAUAUUCCUUAUAUUCAAUAAUUUAAAAACAAAACCAGGUCAAUCCGGCCAAACCAAUGGUUCCGAUUAUGAGCCAGUCUAUAAAGCGAUUUAGUUCAACCCUUUGAAUCUAAUAAGUCAAAAAAUUAUUUUAAACUGCUUGAUCAAUAACCGGACCAGUAAAUCAGUCUUGUUUUAAUUAAAUUGACCAGAUUUUUAAUUUUAUGAAGCCAUAUUAAAAUCCUACAGCUUAAAACCAAUUUAGCUGUUUUUAUUUUCUAUUAACACAACUUAGUCUUAUAACAAGUUGGUUUAGCAGUUAGUAUUUUAUUAUUAAAUAUUAACACUAAAAUAAUAAUAUAUUUAUAAUUUUAUAUAAUAUAUUUAAAAAUAAUAAUUAAAUAUUUAUAAUGUCAUAUUGAUAUUAUUGGUUCAACCAGUGGGUUGAAUAAGUGAUUUUUGGCCCAAUUAACAUUUUCUUGUUUGACCCAACUUUUAAAGUAUUGCUAAUAUCUAGACUUGGGAUUUUGAUAGCUCCAGGAUAUGAGCUUGAAUUGAAUGGGAGCAAAUCGGAAGUAGAUGUGUGUUGUGAGAUCCCAACUUAGGACCUUCUAAUAUUAUAUGAAACAACUAAUUAUUCUAAAAGCUUCAUAAUAGCACUUUAUUAAUAGUAGAGAAUAUUCAAAGAAAAAUAGGGUUUGGAGGUUUUGAUACAUGUGAUAUGAUAAUACUUCAAGUGUUUGUCCGGCUAGACUAUUAUAGAUAUUGUGACGCCCCACUUUCAAGGGGUCAUCCAUCCUAGAAUUAUUUUAAUCCUAAUAUGCUUAACCUCCUCUUGGGCCUAAUCACUAUUCAAAAUGUUAUAGCCAGGUAAAGAAUUUUAGCCCUAUAUCUCAUAGAUAGGACUAUUCCAAAUUCUGGGGUGUCACAUUCUUCCCUCCCCCGCUUUUAAUCCUCGAAGUCUUCAUCAGUCUCAAGCACACUCACAAAUAUCAGGUGAUAUGUAACUCGUGUUGCUAGCCUUACCCGACCUUGUAGAGAGCCGGUUGUCACGGACAAAAUAUUUCCCGCUGACUUCUCUGAAAUGGGUUGAAAAUGGAUUGAAUCGGGUUGUCAAGGAGACCCAAACCCAAACCGCUAUGGAGAGAUGAAAGGUUUUGUAACCUCUCCCAUCAAUGAUGAAAACUCAAGGGUUAUGAAACUCUCAUGAGUUAUGGGGUGACUUUUGGGCUUAUGGCUCAUUAUGAGGGUGAGUUAAUGUGUCUCAUAAUGAGAGAGUUAGUGUGUGUCUAGGUUCAUUAUAUUUAGGAGCUUAUAAGUAGUGGGGUUUUGGUUAAGGUCAAAACACACAAGAGAGAGUGUGUAUAUGAGUUGUAAUUCUCAUUUUCUAAGUAGUGUAGUACUUAGCUUUUUGAGAGAACCUCUGCCUCUUUCUCUUUGUCAUUUUCCUUUGUAUACUUAGUCAUAGGAUGCGAAGGUCCGGGCUAGCAACAGGGAUGAAGGUUUGCCCAUCUUCUAGUAGGAAGGCGGGCGCUGCACGGACUUUGUGAACAAAACCACUAAGGCCGUGAUAGUUGGUAUCAGAGCCGGUUCGAGGAGGAACCAUGUCUUCGUCGGAAGCUGCUGUCGUUGACGUUGUGCCUGAGCCCAGGGUGACCAAGCGCGGCAAGAGUAAGGAGCCGCGGACUCUGGCGAGAGAGUCCGUCUUGCUUGAUGACCGCAUAGGCGUGCUAGAGGACUCUGCUGCGAGCGCGGAGGAGCGCUACUUCGACCUAUCCCAACAUGUGGGGAUGUUGGAGGAGAGGUUUUAUUUGAUGGAGAUGGAUAUUGUUGCAGCUAUGGCAACAUUCCACCAUCGUCUGGAGCAGUUCAAGGUGAACCUUGCCCGUCGCAACGACGAGCGGGAUGUGUGAGAUGUGCUGCUUCAGGAAAUCAGUGCCCAGGUCAAGGAGGACGAGGACCUUAAGACGAGGAAGGCACUACCUGAGCGAACCGAGGGUGAUCGAGGUGAACCACCAAAGGCGAGCGAGGCCAAAGGUGGGGGAGAUUGCCGUGAUACAGGGGACGUAAAAAGGCGCAACGAGAGUUCAACCCUUACUGCCUUGCAGCUUUACAAUGAGGUGAAGCGCGGGAAAGCUAAGGACCUCGCGGAGGAGGGCCUGAGUAGCAGUGAGACUGUCAAGUCUCAUGCGGCGUUGAAACGGAUAGCGUCCAAGCAAAGUGCAAGUCAUUCUGCCAAGGAGCCUGCAAGGACCAAAAGGCGUUCUGCAGUUUGGCAGAGUACGCGUACGUGUCGCGGAGGACAUGCACACUCGAGGUGUUCUGCGGCUUGGCAGAGUGUGUGUGUGCGUGUCGCGGAGGACAUGCACAUCCGGCUAAUUCUUCGCAUAGCAGGCUCGCUGGGGCACUUGCUCAGCAGGGUAAGACACUAGGUGAUGGUGCGGGGACAGAUGCGGACAUUGGGAGCAAGGCACGGGGCCGAUCGCGCGCGAAGGCAAGACGGAUCGGGCGGAAGGCUAUGCGGACCGAGAGCUACUCGGUGCGCGACGAGGGCGUCUGCGCGUUAGGUAGGGUAGAAUGUCACAGACAAAAUAUUUCCCGCUGACUUCUCCUUGACAGUGGCCCAAAUCUUCUAGCGAAACGGGUUGAAAAUGGGUUGAAUCGGGUUGUCAAGGAGACCCAAACCCAACCCGCUCUGGAGAGAUGAAGGGUUUUGUAACCUCUCCCAUCAAUGAUGAAAACUCAAGGGUUAUGAAACUCUCAUGAGUUAUGGGGUGACUUUUGGGCUUAUGGCUCAUUACGAGGGUGAGUUAAUGUGUCUCAUAAUGAGAGAGUUAGUGUGUGUCUAGGUUCAUUGUAUUUAGGAGCUUAUAAGUAGUGGGGUUUUGGUUAACGUCAAAACACAUAAGAGAGAGUGUGUAUAUGAGUUGUAAUUCUCAUUUUCUAAGUAGUGUAGUACUUAGCUUUUUGAGAAAACCUCUGCCUCUUUUUCUUUGUCAUUUUCCUUUGCAUACUUAGUCAUAGGACGCGAAGGUCCGGGCAAGCAACAGGGACGAAGGCUUGCCCAUUUUCGAGUAAGAAGGCGGGCGCCGCAUGGACUUUGCGAACAGAACCGCUAAGGCCGUGACACGGUGCUCUAUACACAAAGGUUGUCAACCAGGGAUCUGCGCUUUACGCGCUAUAUGAUUUUAACUCAGCCGAGACUUAUCUCAUACUUCUAGUUGGUGAUUGGCUCUGCUACCAACUGUGAUGCCCCGUUUUUCUGGGAGUUACCAAUCCUAGAACUACUUUAGUCCUAACAUGUUCAACCCUCUUAACCUCUUAGGCUUAACCAAAGCCCAAAAUAUUAUAACCUGGUUAAGAGGUUUAGCCCUAUAGUAUCUCACAGAUAUGACUAUUGACUAUUCCAAAUACUGAGGUAUCACAUUCUUCCCCAUUUUAAGACCUGAUGUCCUCGUUAGGCUUCAGCACACUCACAGGCAUCAGGGGAUGUGAGACUUGUAUUGUUAACCUUAGCGGAGACUUAUCUCACACUUUUUGCUUCCUUGGUGGUAUUCUAGAACUACUCUUGUCUUAACACGUUUAAUUCUUUUAACCUCUCCGGUUUAGCCAAAGCCAACAUGUUAUAGCCGGAUUAAAAGGUUUAGUCCUAUUAUAUCUUAUAGAUAUUCCAAAUCCUAGUGUCACAGAUAUGGAUACUAAGUGUUGAUUAAGUAAAAUUCUUAAGAUAAUUAAACAAUUUUUAGCUUUAAGUGAAGAAAAUUUUAUGCCGAAGCUUUUAGGUUAUAUUUGGAUGUUGAAAUAAGAUAUCUAUGAUAAUUAAGUUAUUCAGCGUGAUCUUGUAAGCUCUUGACUUUCAUGUUUUCCUAGAAUAGCAUAUCUCAUAUAUGAAGUAAUUAAUUAAGCUUAUUCCAAAAAAUGACUUAAAGUCGAAUAUGAUAUUUAUUCUAGACAUUUUUUCCGUCCUCAUCUACUAAAUAUUACGUGCUCCUUGUGUAAAUUGAAAGAAUAUACAGAAUAAUAUAUAUUCAUGUAUCCGAACAAGAUCUUAAUUAUCCGAAAACUUAUAUAUUUAUGCAUUUUGCUUUAAACCUCAUGAUUUUUUUUUUAGAUGUAAAGAAAAUUUAUUCUAAAAACGUUGAAUAAG